This 76718-nucleotide long non-coding RNA is filed under the name Sorghum bicolor (sorghum). Its description in RNAcentral is "long non-coding RNA (SBIC_LNC010739)". Lineage: Eukaryota; Viridiplantae; Streptophyta; Magnoliopsida; Poales; Poaceae. The record is from RNAcentral.
GAUGCAAGCGGGAAUCCAAUAAAUAACUUGAAUGUAAAUAAAAGUAAUUAAAGAACUCAGAAAUUAUGAAUUGAAGAACCUGGAGAACGAUGAAGAACGAACCAGAUGCUGCAAAAGUAUAAUGUUGAGGAAGAUCCGACAGAUCUGGCUCCUCCUCCGCUCUCCUCUUCUCUCUCCCUAUUUUCUAGAUUACAACUAGAACUAACUAGAACUAGAACUAGAAGAACUAGAACUAGAACUAGAUGAACUAGAGGUAGAUCUAGAUGAACUAGAGGUAGAACUAGAAGAACUAGAGGGAUCCUCUCUACUUGGAUGAAGAAUUGAAACCCUAGCUUUUAUUCUGUAGAAGAGGUAUGAUCUCCAGGGGCCAGGGGGUCUGGUUUUAUAGUCCGUUCAAGUGAAUCUGGGCCGUCGGAUCAAACCGACAUUGAUCGUGUGGUUUUCCUUGAAGUAUUAGGUCGGUGGAGCAUGAUCCCCGAACUUCACCCUGAUUGGUGGAAAGAGGUGGGCGGGCGCCCAGGCAAGGAGGGCGGGCGCCCUGUCCCUGUGUCCUCUCGGCCUCCGCUUCGGUCCCGUGGCUUCUGGAGUCUUCUAGAUGAUAGAAAAUUGCGCGGCACGUUAAUAUCUCUAUGUAAACCCGACGUGUGGGCCUUUCUUCCAUAAUUCCUGAUAACCCCUUGCAGAAAUAGACAAACACCAAAACUCGUGGAAUUCUGUCAGAUAAAACCCUAAGUCUAGGUGUUGGUUGCAUUUGGAUCCUUUUCUAUGAUUAAUUGAUAGUUAAUUGUGAGCAUUAAGGACCGUCAACAAUCUCAUAAUGCAACUUGAAGCAGCUUCCUUGCAGAUGUGAGGCCUCUUGCACUUAGCUAAUGGAUUUGAUGCUUUUAUCUCAAAGAGCUAUAGGCAGUAUUAAAUUACCUAUGUGUUUAAUACAAUAAAAUUAAUUUAUAUUGUCAAAAUAAUGAAAUAAAUCUAAUACUAGUUUGAAUUUUCUGAGAUAGGAGAAUUACUUUUAGAGACUGCUAGAUAAUUAAUUUAAGAACUUGAUCCUUGCUGGUUAUAUGUUGAUUAUAUGAUCCCUGCUUACAAGGGUUAGCUUGGAAGAACUUAAGCAAUAAAAUGGCAACAAAGUUUUAACAGCUAACUUGGGAUGCUUCCAGUGAGUUCUAUAUAAGUUCAAUAAAAUUAAUGAUACAAGCAGGAUAUAUUCUACUCCUAUGCAUUACUAAAAUGACAAAUAAGGUUAGUAAGACACAAGGUUCUGCAUAUGAUUUUCAUACCACUGUGGCCAUUGUAGGUGCGGUGAGGUCAGCAUUUUUGCCAGUCGCAUCCUGCACACUACCAGCAAGCAAAAGGUCAUCAUUAGACUCCCUUUACAAAAUCAGAGGCUAUGGCAUCUACUAUUUUGAAAAUUCACCAUUUUAGUGUAAGUAUUCCAUGAUGUCAAUGUAAUUGAAGGUACCCAGACAUUAUAUCAAUUAAAUUUUGGCAUAACUGCUUUGAAUUAUCUGAUUCCUAGGAUGGAGAAAAUUAUCUGAUUCUUUUAAGGGUUAAUUAAACUGAUUCCUACCUAUCUGCUUUGAAUUCUAACAAUGAUAGCCAAGUUCCUUUUCCCCUCCUUUUCUGAAAGGAAAACAUUGGAUGGCAACACUCACAAAUCACAGAAGACUCAGAUCGUAUGAUAAUUAAAUAUCUUUGUGCUCACCAAAAUUUUAAGUUUCAAUAAAGCAGUAAUAUGUGAAAUAGAAACACAAAUUUAUCAUAACAAUGUCUAAAACUGCAAGAGCAAACAGAGCACUCUUACUGUGCUGCAGAACAAGCAACAGUUAGAAAAAAUAGAGAGGCACACUCUUUGGUUUGAAACUUAACUAAGCCUACUUACAUAUGAUGAAUAUUUCUGUCAACUCAGAUAGAGAUGUUAAGUAACUACAAAAGAUUCCAUGUAAUGUACUGGUUAGCCUCUCCCAAUCCCUAUUCAGUAAGUACAUGAACAUGAUCUUUGUCAAUUUUCCAUGUCAUGUAAUCUACUCAUUUGCAGACUCAGUUAUUUAUAGGCUUCCAUCCCCCGAUUGUUGUUUUUGGCAACUUCUGUACAAGUAGCAAGCAGAAUUGAAGAGAUCUCUAAGGAGAUCCCCCAUAAUACUUGGAUAUGUUACCGCAGUGAAACUAUGGUUUAAAUAUGCUCACAUCACUGAGAACUCCUGUGAAAAAUACCUCAUUAUGUGCAGUGCUAUUCCAGCUUUAAGUUUUCCCCUCUGAAUUUCGGCCUCAUUAAGUCUGCAGUAUGCUGGAUCUCUCUCAAACUCUGAAACUGCGUCACCCAACUUAUUCAAAAUUAUAUUCAAGUGAGUAAUGGACAAUGGCGGUAUCACAAAAUAAGUAGAUGUAAUUUUACGAUAACCUUUCUAGUACUAAGCAUAACAGCACUACAUGAGCGACUGAUAGUGAUACUGCAGUAAAAAAGAAAACUUUAGUCAUAUGCAGCAUAAAUGAGUACGCAAUGUAUGAAUUAGUGGUGUAACAGCCAUUUAUUCGAACAUCUGCAAACAGUCAAGAAAACGGCUCCAGCCGCCAACUCUGCUCGAUUUUUCACUGCUCCCUACCAUGCCACCACAACUCACUAGACGCACAAACUGUGCAGAGUGGACAGAUGAGCAACAAGGAAGAAGACCCUCACGGUUCUGAUCAACGAAAGAAAUGGACGGAUGGAGCAACGAGGGCUAGAGGACAGGGCGGGCAGAAGGUGAGCAACUCACUGAGUCACGGAUCUCAUCCUUGACGAUGUAGAAGGGGGGGCCAUAGGGAGGCUCACAAGCCGCCGGCCCGGAGCAGGAGGUUCAGAUCCGAGGACGGCCACUGCUCGGGAGGCUCGCAAGCCGUCGGCGGGAAGCGGGGCGGCCGCGCGCAGGCCGGCGGGGCUCCGGCGAGCCGUGGUCGUGGGCGAGGCGGCUGGGUUCCGGGGGCGUGAGCCGAGGUCGGGGCUAGGGCGGACAGGCUCCGGGGGUGCCAGCCGCGGUGCGGGCGGGGCUCCGGAGUAAACAUGGCAAUUUUUAUCCCAAACCCGAAAUCCGAUGGGUAAUUACCUCAUUAUGGUAAGGGUAUGGCUAUUUUUUUUUACCUAUGGCUAAGAUAAUGGGAAAAAAAGCUUUACCCAGCGGGUAAGGGUAUGAGACUGCAUUGCCCAUUCCCGUUAACCAAUGGGUAAAUUGAAUCCGAUAAAUUAUACUACAAUCAUAAAACUUGUGGAUUUUAUGACUUAUUAUCUAGUAAUAAUGGAUUUAUCCAUUAGAUCAUUUAACUGUGUGUUCAUGUAGUUUGUAUAUUUGAAGAGUUUAUUAAUGAUUUAUGAUAUUUUGGCUAAAUUUGGGAGUCUGAUAUAUUAAAACAUGUAUUUUUCUAGCAAAUAUUUUUAAAAUAAUGUGUAAAGAUAACCCAUGGGUUAUCCGUUACCCGCAUGGGUAAAGGUAUGGGAAAAAAACUGUUACCCAUACUCGGGUAUGGGUAAAUUAGCGGAUAAAAUAUUUUCUCGUGGAUAAAAGUAACACAUACCCGACCGCUAGUAAUUACCCAUUGCCAUCCAUACUCCGGAGGGGUGCAAGCCGUAGUCGGGGGCUGGGUGGCCGGGGGCAGCGUCAGCGGCAUCCAGUGGAGACGCUGGGGUCAGCGUCACUUUUGGAUGGCGGAUUGCAGGCAGUGCUUCUGUCACACCCUGGCUUUUAAAAUAAGACCAGAGUCGUCAUAUGUGUGCCCAGGAAGUCCACACAUACAACAAAGAAUAAAAAUAUCAGAAAAAAUGUUAUAUAUAGCGGAAAACGUAUUUAUAACAACACUUACAAACAUCAGAGUACGCGGAAACAGUAGCUAAAACUUCUUAGGCUCCAUUCUUCUCAGGGACGGUUGACUGGGGCUCCGUACGCCAAGCACUUCUGAUAUACUUCUAGAAUACUCCAUAAUAUCUCUAUCCUUCUUCUGAGCAGCACUUUACUACACACUGGGGGUGUGGGGGGAAAUAGCAAGGGUGAGUUCAUGUCGAACUCAACAAGUACAGGCGGAAAAUAUAAUGACAUGCAUGGCUUAAUCAAAGGAAAAGCUGACACUGUUUAACUGCAGGUGAGCUUUUAAGUUGGUAUAUUUUUAUUACAAUUCUUUUAUUAAAACAAUCUAUUAUUAAAUAUGAGUGAAGCAUCCCAACCCUUAAUUAGAUGAAAGUAUAUUAACAAUAUUAUUACUCAUCAUUAUAAUAAUAAUUAUUAUUAAGAUUACCGAGGUAGCAACCUCAGAUAGUAACUCAGGGUAGCAACCCCAAUAAGGUCAUGGAAUAGCAAUCCCAAUUAAGAACACAGGAUAGCAAUCCUGCCAACACGGAAUAGCCAUUCCGCCAAAGCACGAGGUAUCAACCUCAACCAAGUUUCGCCUCCAAGUUCCAGUGAAUCCAAUUUGCUCAUCAAGUGAGGGUCUGGGCCGCUCGUGACCGUGAGCACGGCUGAUAUAUCAGUUUUACACUCUGCAGAGGUGUGCACGUUCACUCCAAGUCGUGAUUCCCAUUUGCCCGGGGUCGCGACUCCCCAAAACACUUCCAAGGUGAGCAGGCAGGGUCUCACUACGAGACUUUUCACAGGGUCCAACUAAUAGGAUGCCACUCGCAAGUUUUCGCCGGGGCGCUCGACAGUCGAUACCCAUAGCCAUGGCGUACCAAGCAGCCGCUAACUUAAUAUUCAUUACCCAAGUUACUUCCUCACGCCUACCCGGAAAGUAACACCCUACUAGUGGAGGUCCUGCUAAUUAGUCAAGCCAGAGCCCAUAUAGCUUGGAGCUGCACUGUAAGUCCCAGGGGGCCGCUCCCUGACUAAGUCCUUACGGAGAGCAGAGACGGGUACGCCCGGCAAACCGGACCACCAACAGUACCCGCUCCCCCUGUCCUCAACCAAACCACGAUGCUCGCAAGCACCGCAACAUCUCCAUCACCGAAGUGACCAUUGUUCAUCAUUUAAUCAUUUAUCAUCAUUGAAGAAUUUAUUAAGCAAGAUCAUUAUUUUUAUUAUUAUAUAGAUUAGAUGAGUAGAGCAACUAAGCAUAUCUACUGUUCACUAUACUACCCAUGUAUAAACCCAGGUAUACAAGGAAUAUAGUAGAAGACUAGUCAUGUCCUUAGGGUUUGCAGUAUUAAGACACAUGCAAUGGAAAGUAAAUGUAUUUAAAGUUCAUAGGUACAAUAUGACCAAAGGGUGUCUGCACUUGCCUUAAUUCCCAGUGUAUAUCUGCUCAGAAUUCUUUAGCUUCUUUCCUUCUGCUUCGACUGUCGGGCCUCAGCUCCUGGUCUUCACUGUUGACGAACCACACUUCUUCUACGCGUAGCAACCAAGCAACACACAUAGACAAACAAACAACAAUCACGACUAAGAACAAGCAUCAAUCAAAAGUAAAGCUCUGAAAAGUAGAGCGCACUAAACGACAAGGCUUGAGGCUACGAUCGUGACAACACAAGAACGAUUGAGAACGGAGCUAUCGUUAAUCGAACACGACUUUUGAGGUUCGUAGUGUAACGGAGAAGACGACUAUACGCUGGUCGUAUUUUAUUUAAUAAAUAACUAUAUAACACUGAAGCCAAUAAAGCAUUUAUAGUUUUUGAAAUAUAGCAUAUAUGAAAGCAACUAAUCAAGUGAUUAUAUAUCAUGUUUAAACUAAUCAAGUUAUAAUUAAUAAAGAAACAUUAAGGUUGAUAUUAAUAACGUGGGCAUUUAUUUAUUUACAAAAAGAUCAAAAUUAUAAACUUUAUUUACUUUUAAAUCAAAAAAACUCUAGAUAAAUAUUACUAAAUUAUUUAUUUGCUUCAUGUUUAACUAACCAAAUUAUAAUUAAGAAGUAUUUGAGUUCACCUUUGAUUAUAAAUACCAAAGUGUAAAUCUAAUGUGUUUUAAAAUUAAGUAAAUAGGAAUGCAUUCCAAACAUUAAUCGGAUUAAUUAUACUCAUGAACAUGAGACAAUAAAUAUAGCACCGCUAAUAUGUAUACUACAUCGACAUAGUCACAAUGCAACGAGGACCGAAUUACAACCCUAGAUUGUUCCUAAUUUAAAAGCUAUUUAAUAAAUAUUAAUCAAAUUAUAUUUAAAUCAAUAAAUUCAGAAAUAAGUUACAUGAUAAAUAUUUAUACUACUACGUAAAGCGCGGCGAUAUGAAACUAACGCGACAAGAACGGGCGCAAACGGAAUUAAAACGCGGAUUCUAUGGCCAAAACUAUGUCAGUGGCAAAACUGUGGAUUAUCAUAACUAUUUUUCGUAAUUUAAAUAAUUAAAACAGAAUUAAAAAGUGAUUUGGAUUAAAUCUGCAAAAACCGACGGCUGCAGGGGCUAUUCUGCAAAAACCAGGGGCAUAUUUCUAUUUACUUUAAACUGAGCAGGACUGCGGGUUAAUUUUAAAUAAACCCGAGGGCUUAUUUGCAAAAGGGUAAGGGGGCGCGCGGGGCCGUGGCCAGCCUGGCCACGUGGCAGCGGGCGGUUGGCGGGUCCACGGUGGACCGGGCCGAGCGGGGCGCGCACACGGGCAGCGGGGGCGGGCGGCCGGCCGCGGCGGUGCGCCAGGGCCGCGGCUCGGAGCUUCGCCGGGACGGCGAGCCGGGGCAUGGGGAGGCAAGCCGAGGGCGGUGGCGGGUUGCGGGCGGUACGGCGGAGCCGAUGCGCGCGCGGGCCGCACGGAUAGAGGGCCGAAGCGCGCGGAGCUCGCGGUGGCGCGGCUCGCCGGCGACGCGGAACUCCGGCGAGCGCGGGCGCGGGGAAAGAGAGGGAGAAAGAGCGCGCCGAGGGUAUCUCCAUGCUCGUGGCGACCUAGCGAACUCGGGGAGGCACUCACCUUGGCGAAAGAACGACGGCAUGGAGGUGUUUCGCGGCGGCCGAAGGGAUCUCGGCGAGACCGAGCUCGAGCAGGGACUAUGUGAUGCGGUUUGAGGCGGCUAGGGUUCCUAGGGAGGCGUGCGGCGGCUGCAGGGCGCCCUUAAAUAGGUGAAGGCGAUCCUCGGUUUGCGCGCGCGCAGAAAUCGUGGCGGCGGCGCCGUCCGCGUCCGAGUCGGGCGGGAGGUUAGGGGUGACCUCCCCCUGACAGGUGGGGCCCGGAUGUCAGCGACUCGGAGCGAGCUGGCAGGCGGGGCCCACGUGGCAGUGGCACGGGCACUAGGCGAGCUGGCGCAGCUGCUGCUGGGCUGCUGCACGGCUGGGCCGAGGCCCAAGGGGCGCGUGCGCGUGGGCUCGAAGAGCAGCCAGGCCGGGGCUGGGCCACAAGCACAAGUAGGCCAAAAACGAGGAGGGAAAAAUGAGGAAGAAAAUAACUUCUCUUUUUGCCAAAAUAGAAAUUCUAAACUAAUUUGCCAACCAAUUUCCAAACUAUUUUCAAACCAUAUUUCAAAAUAAAUUUGAUUCAACAUUUAGGGAUUAUUUUGGAAUUUUUUUUAGACUAUUUUGAAAUCUAAAUAUAUUUCAGUUUAAACACAUUUCUAAAUUGUUUUCCAACUCGAAUUUGAAUUAGUUUUCAAAUAGGACUUUUGGAGUUUUAUUUUUCCGAAAACCGAAAGGACCUAAACGUGGCUCGCUAGAAAUUUUGAAAAUUCAUUUUUCUGAGACAAGCCAAACAAAACUAGGGCACAAAACACACAUCAAAUAAAACACCCUCCACUUAGUUUAAUAAAAGUUUUAAAACUCCACAUUUUUUCUCAUUUUAUAAAAACAAUAAUUAAUAAAUUCUUGGAAUAUUUUAGAAAAAAUUUAAAUCCUUAUUUAAUUUAGUAUUUUCUAAUAACAAUCCAAAAUUAAAUUUUUUUUGGAGUGUUACAGAUCUACCCCACUUAACAAAAAUCUCGUCCCGAGAUUUGAAGAAACUAGAGAGAAAGAUAAAGUAGAUCAUCAAAGUUGCUUCGAGACUUUCAAGACGUGAUCAAAGGAUUAGAGAUAGACUUAGGGUAAAAAGUAUGAUAAAAGAUGACAAGGAAAGAAAAAAAAAUAAACGUAUGAGAUAAGAAUUGAAACGUAUGAGAUAAGAAUUAAUCUUUGGACCUUGUAUUAGGAUAAGGUUCAAGGGUGAGAAGCCAAUAUGAACAGGAGAUGAUACAUAGGAGAUAAAGAUAGAUAUUAUAGUACUCACAAUUUCCUCGAUUCCGGAUAUAUAUAUGAUAGUAGAUGAAAGAAUAAAGAAUGAUGAAAAGUUGACAAAGACUUAGAAUUUUUUUUUGUCUUCACGCUUUAUCAUUUGUAGUCCUUUGAGACGUAAGAUCCAAGAUUUACACGUUGACAAAAUUGAUAAGGGCUCAUCGCAAGAAUGAUAAAGAUCAAUAUAUAGUUCUCCAUGUCUUUCUGAUUAGAGAUUUUCGAGAGUGAUGAUCGUACGAAUGCUACCCCACUUAAACCAAGUGUUAGCUUAUCUUUCAAAAUCCUGUAUAAGAACACUCAUCUUGUCGGUAGAUAAUCUUCAAAGUUUUCCUUGGGAGGUUACUAGUUCGACAACACGCUGCAUAGAUGGAGAUUCCGAGGAACAGGGAGAGAAUCAACACAAUGAUUGGAAAGGAUAGAUUAAGAUGUUCUUAAUUUUCUUAGUGCUGGUGUGAGACAUAAGUCAGAAGACAAGAAGUUUGUCCAGGUGAAAGUUCUUGAACACUUCCCAGCAAAACAAACCAAGGGGUCGGUGAAAUUGACCAUAUAUCGGUAUGAUUUUACAUCUAACUUUCAGGUUCUGCAUUUUGUCACGUGAUAGUCCAGCAUAUAUUCCACGGUGAAAAAGAAGUCUUAUCUUAGGACCUCGGUUUCCUGUUGCCUUGCUUUGAUAGGUCAACAGGCAUGACAUUUUCUAGGUCACUCAGUGCUUCUUUGUGGUCUCCAUAGAUGGAUUCUAAGCAGACAUGACCUACUACUUGUAGUGUCGGGAGAAUGUUGCAAGAGAGAACUACACAAAUGAUGUCGACUCAUUUUGUAUGAAGAAUUUAAGAUCGCUUCACAGGUAAGCACUACAAGUUGAUGUUGGGAUAGCACGAUGUGCUUCGUCCAAGGUUCCAUCAGUUACCAUAAAUAGACUGAACAUCUGGUCAAACAACUCAUAACCCAUAUUGGAAGCUUAAGAAUGAUAAGGUCCAAUGAACAAGACAUCUCAUUUUACAAAGAAGAUUACAAGUGACUUGAAUACCAAAUCUUUAUAAGCUAAUAGACACAACUGACUUCAGAUUUCAUAGACCAUCAUUGACUAGCUCAAAUCUAUCUAGGUCCCUUAAUAUAACUUGCUUCACAUCAGAUGUUGAGAAUAUAUCACCUCUGUAUAAGGUCCACAUCUCUUUCAAACUGCCUCGUUGUCGGUACAAUCCUUCCAUUAGUGCUUUAAUCCUUCGGGUGAGGUUGAAUACCUUCAUACAUAAACCUAUCUCCUGAUGGGGUGGUUAGAGAUACUGAGUGUUGGGUACAGUCAAUCUUUCCAUGACAAGCGGUUAACCAUCCUCUUCCAAGAACGACAUCAAUCUCCAUUGAUUCCAAAACUACAAGAUUCACCUCAAAAUUUACACCUUUUAUACCGAGACUGACUUUUGGGCACAUGUGUGUUGCUUUUAUCUUCCCUCUUGGUGAUUUGACUAGUACGGGUUUCUUCAUUUCCAACAGAAGCAUCUUAUGAUUAGCAACACGUUUAUUUGAGAUGAAAGAAUGUGAAGAACUUGAGUCAAACAAAACAGUGGCAGGAGUUGAAUUGACUAGAAUUGAUCCAAACACCACAUUUUGUGCUUCACGAGCAGUACACAGAUCCACAUGGUUCAAUCUACCAUUAACAUAGUCACGAACUGGGUACUUCUUUGGACAAUGUUUCUUGUGAUGUCCCUCUUCGUGACACUGGUAACAAGCAUUGCUAACCAUUUUACCAUAGGUGUUAUCCUGACAUUGAGCUCCUUGAAUUGAUGUGCCAGGAGUAAUUGAAGUGCUACUAACUUGUUGGUUCUGAGGGUUCACCUUCAAUGGAGUCUCUUCACUAUUUCGCUUCUUAGCUUGAUUACUCUUUCGAGGCUGAUAUUCUGUAUAGGUGAUGGUCCAUCCAUCUAGGCAUACCUCUGGCAUAGCAAGUGUAGCUGAAGGGGCAUCUAAUUCUUCAAGGUAUGAAUGUGUCUGAUGAGAGUUUGGAGCUAAAUCUAACUGCAAUGUAGAACUCAGAUUUGGCUCAACACUUAACAGUGGCUCUAGGGAGAUUGCCUUCCUUUUCUUGUUACCUUCAGUUUGUUGAUCCUGGGGUACUUCAAUCUUUCCUUCACUUGGCUUGUUCUGGAGACAAGGUAAACCAUAGUAUCUGCAGCAGUUACACGGCUCUUGAAUCCCAAGUGCCUCAUUAAUACCAUCUUUCUUGGCUUUCAUGUUCUUCCAGGCAUCUAUGACUUGUCGCUUCAUUGCUUCUUUCUGAGUUUCAGUCAUGUUCUUUUCUAAAUAUAACUGAGAAUCUUUUGGUGGUCCCACUCCACUUAGUACUUGAUCCUGCAUAGACAAGGGCUUCUCCUUGUUUACUAGGGACAAGGGUAGCAUAGUUGGGUCUUCCUGACAUUUGGUGUAAGCUUCUUCAAUAUCGCCUUGGAGAAGUAAAGAUUGUAGUAUCAAAAGCUUCUGGAGUCUAGCCAUAUGAUCAGCUGCCAUCUCUAGGAUUUGGGAUUGCCAAGCUAUCAUCUCUUCACUGCUCAAUUGUGUUGCAGAAGUCAUUGGUUGACUCGGAUCACCAAUAUUCUUUUCCAUUGAUGUCACCACUUGGAUCAAUCAUCUGACAUUAGGCAAUAGUAGAAUGAGUUAGAGUAAUAUAGGCAAAGAGUAUGACAUAGGGUAGGAGAGAAUAGCUGGACAGGAUUAAGAUUGACAAAAGAUAUGGAUAGGAUAAGAGAGAUCACUACCCCACUUAACAGAGAUCGAACUAAUCCCCAAACGAUUUCUUCCAGAACUCCUCAAAACACUAGAACAGAGACAACACACAAAACAUCAAACCAAACAAAACAAGCACGCAACACAUCAACGAUACUACACGUGCUUCUUCAACAGUGGUGGUCAUCCUAAAAAGGUAAGUUCGAGAUGAUGAAGGGCCAUCGAAUUUUGGAAUAAAAUAAGUUUUGAAAACUUAAGUAAAACAACUAAACAAAAGCCAAGGAGAUUAAUAGAAAUAGCUCAAAGGAAGCUAUUCAAGGAGGGGAUACAACAUGACAAGGAUGAAGAAAUAGUCAAAAUCAAAUAGUCAAGAGAUGAGAAAAUAGUUUUAUAUUAAAAUAAGCUUUAGAAAUCGACCAGUGCUAUCUAGGCAUACGUCCUACAGUCGACAUUGCUCUGAUACCAUUCCUGUCACACCCUGGCUUUUAAAAUAAGACCAGAGUCGUCAUAUAUGUGCCCAGGAAGUCCACACAUACAACAAAGAAUAGAAAUAUCAGAAACAAUGUUAUAUAUAGUGGAAAACGUAUUUAUAACAACACUUACAAACAUCAGAGUACGCGGAAACAGUAGCUAAAACUUCUUAGGCUCCAUUCUUCUCAGGGACGGUUGACUGGGGGCUCCGUACGCCAAGCACUUCUGAUAUACUUCUAGAAUACUCCAUAAUAUCUCUAUCCUUCUUCUGAGCAGCACUUUACUACACACUGGGGUGUGGGGGGAAAUAGCAAGGGUGAGUUCAUGUCGAACUCAACAAGUACAGGCGGAAAAUAUAAUGACAUGCAUGGCUUAAUCAAAGGAAAAGCUGACACUGUUUAACUGCAGGUGAGCUUUUAAGUUGGCAUAUUUUUAUUACAAUUCUUUUAUUAAAACAACCUAUUAUUAAAUAUGAGUGAAGCAUCCCAACCCUUAAUUAGAUGAAAGUAUAUUAACAAUAUUAUUACUCAUCAUUAUAAUAAUAAUUAUUAUUAAGAUUACCGAGGUAGCAACCUCAGAUAGUAACUCAGGGUAGCAACCCCAAUAAGCUCAUGGAAUAGCAAUCCCAAUUAAGAACACAGGAUAGCAAUCCUGCCAACACGGAAUAGCCAUUCUGCCAAAGCACGAGGUAGCAACCUCAACCAAGUUUCGCCUCCAAGUUCCAGUGAAUCCAAUUUGCUCAUCAAGUGAGGGUCUGGGCCGCUCGUGACCGUGAGCACGGCUGAUAUAUCAGUUUUACACUCUGCAGAGGUGUGCACGUUCACUCCAAGUCGUGAUUCCCAUUUGCCCGGGGUCGCGACUCCCCAAAACACUUCCAAGGUGAGCAGGCAGGGUCUCACUACGAGACUUUUCACAGGGUCCAACUAAUAGGAUGCCACUCGCAAGUUUUCGCCGGGGCGCUCGACAGUCGAUACCCAUAGCCAUGGCGUACCGAGCAGCCGCUAACUUAAUAUUCAUUACCCAAGUUACUUCCUCACGCCUACCCGGAAAGUAACACCCUACUAGUGGAGGUCCUGCUAAUUAGUCAAGCCAGAGCCCAUAUAGCUUGGAGCUGCACUGUAAGUCCCAGGGGGCCGCUCCCUGACUAAGUCCUUACGGAGAGCAGAGACGGGUACGCCCGGCAAACCGGACCACCAACAGUACCCGCUCCCUCUGUCCUCAACCAAACCACGAUGCUCGCAAGCACCGCAACAUCUCCAUCACCGAAGUGACCAUUGUUCAUCAUUUAAUCAUUUAUCAUCAUUGAAGAAUUUAUUAAGCAAGAUCAUUAUUUUUAUUAUUAUAUAGAUUAGAUGAGUAGAGCAACUAAGCAUAUCUACUGUUCACUAUACUACCCAUGUAUAAACCCAGGUAUACAAGGAAUAUAGUAGAAGACUAGUCAUGUCCUUAGGGUUUGCAGUAUUAAGACACAUGCAAUGGAAAGUAAAUGUAUUUCAAGUUCAUAGGUACAAUAUGAUCAAAGGGUGUCUGCACUUGCCUUAAUUCCCAGUGUAUAUCUGCUCGGAAUUCUUUAGCUUCUUUCCUUCUGCUUCGACUGUCGGGCCUCAGCUCCUGGUCUUCACCGUUGACGAACCACACUUCUUCUACGCGUAGCAACCAAGCAACACACAUAGACAAACAAACAACAAUCACGACUAAGAACAAGCAUCAAUCAAAAGUAAAGCUCUGAAAAGUAGAGCGCACUAAACGACAAGGCUUGAGGCUACGAUCGUGACAACACAAGAACGAUUGAGAACGGAGCUAUCGUUAAUCGAACACGACUUUUGAGGUUCGUAGUGUAACGGAGAAGGCGACUAUACGCUGGUCGUAUUUUAUUUAAUAAAUAACUAUAUAACACUGAAGCCAAUAAAGCAUUUAUAGUUUUUGAAAUAUAGCAUAUAUGAAAGCAACUAAUCAAGUGAUUAUAUAUCAUGUUUAAACUAAUCAAGUUAUAAUUAAUAAAGAAACAUUAAGGUUGAUAUUAAUAACGUGGGCAUUUAUUUAUUUACAAAAAGAUCAAAAUUAUAAACUUUAUUUACUUUUAAAUCAAAAAAACUCUAGAUAAAUAUUACUAAAUUAUUUAUUUGCUUCAUGUUUAACUAACCAAAUUAUAAUUAAGAAGUAUUUGAGUUCACAUUUGAUUAUAAAUACCAAAGUGUAAAUCUAAUGUGUUUUAAAAUUAAGUAAAUAGGAAUGCAUUCCAAACAUUAAUCGGAUUAAUUAUACUCAUGAACAUGAGACAAUAAAUAUAGCACCGCUAAUAUGUAUACUACAUCGACAUAGUCACAAUGCAACGAGGACCGAAUUACAACCCUAGAUUGUUCCUAAUUUAAAAGCUAUUUAAUAAAUAUUAAUCAAAUUAUAUUUAAAUCAAUAAAUUCAGAAAUAAGUUACAUGAUAAAUAUUUAUACUACUACGUAAAGCGCGGCGAUAUGAAACUAACGCGACAAGAACGGGCGCAAACGGAAUUAAAACGCGGAUUCUAUGGCCAAAACUAUGUCAGUGGCAAAACUGUGGAUUAUCAUAACUAUUUUUCGUAAUUUAAAUAAUUAAAACAAAAUUAAAAAGUGAUUUGGAUUAAAUCUGCAAAAACCGACGGCUGCAGGGGCUACUCUGCAAAAACCAGGGGCAUAUUUCUAUUUACUUUAAACUGAGCAGGACUGCGGGUUAAUUUUAAAUAAACCCGAGGGCUUAUUUGCAAAAGGGUAAGGGGGCGCGCGGGGCCGUGGCCAGCCUGGCCACGUGGCAGCGGGCGGUUGGCGGGUCCACGGUGGACCGGGUGCGGCGCGGGGUGCACCGGUCCACGGUGGACCGGGCCGAGCGGGGCGCGCACACGGGCAGCGGGGGCGGGCGGCCGGCCGCGGUGGUGCGCCAUGGCCGCGGCUCGGAGCUUCGCCGGGACGGCGAGCCGGGGCAUGGGGAGGCAAGCCGAGGGCGGUGGCGGGUUGCGGGCGGUACGGCGGAGCCGAUGGGCGCGCGGGCCGCACGGAUAGAGGGCCGAAGCGCGCGGAGCUCGCGGUGGCGCGGCUCGCCGGCGACGCGGAACUCCGGCGAGCGCGGGCGCGGGGAAAGAGAGGGAGAAAGAGCGCGCCGAGGGUAUCUCCAUGCUCGUGGCGACCUAGCGAACUCGGGGAGGCACUCACCUUGGCGAAAGAACGACGGCACGGAGGUGUUUCGCGGCGGCCGAAGGGAUCUCGGCGAGACCGAGCUCGAGCAGGGACUAUGUGAUGCGGUUUGAGGCGGCUAGGGUUCCUAGGGAGGCGUGCGGCGGCUGCAGGGCGCCCUUAAAUAGGUGAAGGCGAUCCUCGGUUUGCGCGCGCGCAGAAAUCGUGGCGGCGGCGUCGUCCGCGUCCGAGUCGGGCGGGAGGUUAGGGGUGACCUUCCCCUGACAGGUGGGGCCCGGAUGUCAGCGACUCGGAGCGGGCUGGCAGGCGGGGCCCACGUGGCAGUGGCACGGGCGCUAGGCGAGCUGGCGCAGCUGCUGCUGGGCUGCUGCACGGCUGGGCCGAGGCCCAAGGGGGCGCGUGCGCGUGGGCUCGAAGAGCAGCCAGGCCGGGGCUGGGCCACAAGCACAAGUAGGCCAAAAACGAGGAGGGAAAAAUGAGGAAGAAAAUAACUUCUCUUUUUGCCAAAAUAGAAAUUCUAAACUAAUUUGCCAACCAAUUUUCAAACUAUUUUCAAACCAUAUUUCAAAAUAAAUUUGAUUCAAUAUUUAGGGAUUAUUUUGGAAUUUUUUUAGACUAUUUUGAAAUCUAAAUAUAUUUCAGUUUAAACACAUUUCUAAAUUGUUUUCCAACUCGAAUUUGAAUUAGUUUUCAAAUAGGACUUUUGGAGUGUUAUUUUUCCGAAAACCGAAAGGACCUAAACGUGGCUCGCUAGAAAUUUUGAAAAUUUAUUUUUCUGAGACAAGCCAAACAAAACUAGGGCACAAAACACACAUCAAAUAAAACACCCUCCACUUAAUUUAAUAAAAGUUUUAAAACUCCACAUUUUUUCUCAUUUUAUAAAAACAAUAAUUAAUAAAUUCUUGGAAUAUUUUAGAAAAAAUUUAAAUCCUUAUUUAAUUUAGUAUUUUCUAAUAACAAUCCAAAAUUAAAAUUUUUUUGGAGUGUUAUAGCUUCCCAUAUACACAAAGCGUUUUCUUUUUUCUCAUUUGUUUAUUUGUUUUGAAAACUAUGUUAUCAAAUUUGUUCUAAUUAAUUAUCUUUUAAAAUAAUAUAUUAAAUGGACUCUAUAAUUUAUAUUCAAAACUUUUAUAAAUAUUUGGCCAUUAUUUUAUAUAGUUUUAAUUCUAUUUAUCAGAAUUAUAAAGUUCUAUAAUUGUGGUUAAGAAUCUGAUAUUAGAAAACGACUUAGAAAAAUUAUCAAAAAUUCACAAGAAAUAAUCUCUGUUGUCUAUUCACUAUACAAAAAGUUUUAAGUAAAACUCCAACUCGACACUCAAUUUGACAUCGGAUCUUAAUGGAUCCUAGCUACUCAACUAUUUGAAACUUCUUCAGAGAUGUUCAGAUUUGUAAGCAUUGUAUGUGACAACUUUCGUGAAUUCUUCUCAAAUUUUUAUCAUAGCCUCUACAUAUGACGUCAUGACAUUUUGAGAAAUCUCAUGUUUUUCAGAGUUCGUUUGGUUUUUAUAGAAUUUAAAAAUGACUAGGCCACAACAUCUUGCUCAUGCUUCAUGAGCAAGAUGUUUGAAUUUUGAUAUAACUUACUGCAUUUGAACUUUAUUCGAUUUAAAAAACAUGAAUAUUAUUUUUCCAUUCUUUUUUUUUAAAUUAUUCGAACCACCUACUGUUCAAAUUUGAGUUAUCUCUGAAAAUUCAAUUAAAUGAGGUAAAUUAACUAAAUAUAGAAGAAAGAUUGAGAAUGGUAUAAAACUUUCACAUGGAGUUAUGGUUACGUAAUGAUGUUAGCAGAAAAAGUUUAGAGGCUAGAAGUAAAAAAACAAAAAACAUUUGUUGAGUGUCCAAGCAAAACACUACAAAAUGGUAACUUUGCCUAGUGCCAGUAUAAAACGCUAGGCAAACUAUUAACUUUGCCUAGUGUACUUUGCCGAGUGUCUAACUUUGCCUAGUGUUGGACACUAGGCAAACUGUUGGUUUGCUGAGUGUUUGGUGCCUAGCACUAGGCAAACCACUGAUUUGCCGAGUGUCAUGGUUUGCCUAGUGUCCGGCACUAGGGAAACCACCAAUUUGUCAUGUGCUAUCCUCUGCUGAGGGCUACACUCGGCAAAUCACUUUUUUACCGAGUGCCUAAUAAAUAACACUAGGCCAAGCGUGCGACACUCGACAAAGAACGUAUCCGGUAGUGCAAUGAUGUCAUUCCCAUUGCUGUCAGUCUAAUGAAUAUAAAUUAGAUAUCAUCGCUGAUCUACCAUGAUCCAGUGGCAAUUAAUUACACAUCACACAUCACUGUCAGUCUGGCAUAUGAUCUGGCGGUGAUGAAGUAGCAGUGCCGGCCCUAGGGGUAGGCUAUCAGAUGCGACGCUCGAGGGCUUAGACAGGAGAGGGGCCCAACCCCAAGUAUACAAAACCCAGGUCUAUAGUCCAUUAAGCAUUAGCAAACUAAUGAGAAGAGAGAGAACUGAUCAACCAGCUCAAGAAGACAACAUCGGUCUUUCUUUCCUAGUUUUCUUUUUCUCCCGAUCUUCAGUAUAGAAGGAGACGACAGGCGAGGAGCCACGCCGCACUCUAACUGUGACUAGCGAGUUUGUGACGUGCCGACGCACACACGCGCGACCGAGCCAUGCUGCCACAGAGAGUUGGACACCAAGGAACAGUGCACGACAGCGGUGGCCAUGGAGGGAAUAUAUUUAUUCAUAUGUUUUUAAAUUUUAAAACUCAACAACUUAAGACUUAUUAUUAUUUAUUUUGCUAAUGUUGAUAUAUAGGUAUAGAAGGAUUAUAUUAUUGUAUUCGCUUAUAUAUUAUAAGAUUUUAUAUUUGUAUGGUCUAGAAAGUUCAUCAUGACAAGUUCGCUGAAGGGUCCUUUGAAUCGUAGGACCGCACUGUGAAGUAGUCAUCAUUGUCGGUCAGAUGUUUGACUCGGCAGUGAUAGCUCAUCACCAAUGGUGCAUCUGACAGCGAUAUGAGCUCAUCACUGCCAGUGCGGCGAACAAUCCUAGGGUGACGAAGAGCUCAUCACUGUUGGUGUGUCGCUUGAUGCAACAGUGAUGAAAAUCUCACUACUGUUCGUUGUACCAUGUCACCAUGGUUUGUAUAGGACAAUAGUGAAUAUAUAUUUUGAAUACUAACUAGCUAGCUAGGUCGUCAUUCGCCAAUACACUCCAACAUAAGAAAAAUGUGAAACACACUAAGACAUGUAUUGCAAUGCACUCAAAUUAGCUAGCUAGGUCGUCAAUUAAUUGACAAAUUUUAAGAACAUAUGUGCUGGAGUAGCUGUCUCAGAUGAGGGUGCACAUAUAAUCCAUGACAUAAAACCCACAUUGAUCAUUUCCAAAAGGCUAUGUUGUGAAUGAAUUGGUCUUAUGGUGAACCUAAAAUUCCAAAAUGGUCGAUUUUCUUGUUCUUUUGUGGUACUUCUGCCCUGUAUGGGAAUGAAACUAGAUCGAAGCUAAUAAAAGUCCAAUAUUUGCCGAAAUGGAAUGAUUAGUGUGUCUUACUUAUUAAGUGUUUCUAUCAAGGGAUGGAUAUACUUUCAUUCUCUCAUUCUCAAGUCGAAAAUGGUGAGAAUGCAUUUCUCAAGGUUGAUGUCAAGGACAAAAUGGCUAUUGCAUUUACAACGCCCGAGACAAAUCAGGCUCAAUCUUGGCAUACUCCCUCUGUCCCUUUUUAAUUGUCGCCGUUGGUGUGUGUGCCACAAGUUUGACUCGAUUUAUAGAAAACUAAAACAUUAGGCGCCCUUCGGGCGCCCUAUCUUGACCAUCUGGCUAAAUUUUUUAAGUACUAAAGUAUUUAGCCAAAAUUCUAACAAUAGUUUUCAUAUUUCAUAAAGGACAACACUAAAAAAUAUAUAUAUACAUAUAAACACAUAUUAUUGCACAAUAAAAAAUAAAUUAAAGCUCGAAUGUCAUUUCAGACAUCUUUGAAGACCUUUGCAUCAGGCUACACUUUAAAGGGCUAAUGAACAGUCUCAGAGAUCAAUUUAAGGGGUGAGAUUUGAAGGGAAAAAACACAUAUCUAAGUAGGAAGUGUACAGGCAACUACAGUAAACUUCAGAGUCAGUCCCAAAUUUGGUAAAGAAUAGAAAGAAUCUCUGGUUGAGGCAUCCUUAACACCAAUUUGUACUAAACUCCUCGACACCAGCUGGGCAAGGAAGUCAUUGACGGCGAUAACAUCGGCACUGAUGAAGUAGGGAUCCACAUUUCCCAUGAACAUCAUCUUUGUAUACCUGCUGAGAGAGUCGCACCAAAUCAGUAGCAGUCUUCAUCUACUAUGGAGGAAAGCAGCUGCAACAAUUGCACCAACUUGGAUAGGGCAAAAAAUUCAUGACUUAAGAUCAAAAUCGGUAAAGAAAAAAUAAUCUCUAUAGCCAACCUUAAAAAAACAUCUUACAAGCUGUCUAGCAAGUUAGCUUUCCUGCAAGCUAGUCCAAAAUUAGAGGUAAGGUCACUAUAAUGUUAUAUGGAGUUACAGACUGAGUAGCUAAAUUUACAUUCCGAAGAAGACAGAGGAAUGGACCAUACUGUUACACAUCUUCCUGAGCUUUUUGUUGGUUUGCUUAAUUUAAAGGAAUAUAUCAAAUGUCAAUCAAUUGAGGAUACAGGCAAUGUAGCAACAAAAAUAAUGUGCUGAUUACAAAAUACUAAAGAAUGCCUAGCAGAUGGUUUAUUAAACAAAUAGCACGAGCAACAAAUGGUUGCUGCUUCCUUACUGCAUGAUGUUUACUCUCCACUAUAUACUGACAAUACACUGAUUUCAGUGUAAUGCAUAUGCAUAGAAAAUGGCUUGUUAUUAGUAAAACUUGGAAGCAUGAGGAGCAGCAACUAAUACAUCAAUUUUUUUUUCUACAGAUGACCUUUUGGUUGAAACUUAAAUAUAGUACAUCAUUGAGGAGCAGCAAAAUUGAUCCAAUAUUGUUUGCCCCAUGCUCUUGUUACUUGUUAGACGUAAUAUGCAAGUUAAGCCAUUGAGUAGUUUAAGUUCCAACAGUGGUCAAAUCAAAACGGUCGACCAUGAAUGCUAUAUAGAUUAUAUAUCUAUUUUGGCCAGCAAUUGGCAUAUAUUUUGGACAACUAAAGCCUGAAGGAGCUAAUUCAUGCUAUGACUGAGAGUGAAAUGCUAGCAACUGCAAGCAAAGUAUUUUGGAAGUCACUUGCUUUCGUGAAAGGCUAAUCAUGCCUCUGCAACUUAUCCUAAAGUAGGAUGCACAACACACAUGAGUAGCAAUAGCCAUAGUGAAUAGUAAAAAUGAUGCUAACAUACUUAAAUGCACAGGACACUCCUUGAAAUCUUGAACAUGGAAUUCUAGUUCACCUGAACCUAGGCCGAAACGUUAUCAUAGCAAUCUCAUUAACUGGAUAUGCAAAAUAAUAGUUAUGCAGAUCGAUCAUCAGAGGUUGAAAAUAUUCUGACUCGCAUGAUCUAAAAAAUGGGAAACAAUAUUAACCUUAAAGUAACAUGUCCUUGCUAAGACAAGAUAGCUUCAACCACAGGACCUUAAGCAGCAGCAGCAGAAGCUAUACGCCCGGAGGCACUGGAAGGUGCAGAUGACACUCAACCGCUGCAAUUAUGGAAGAGACCAUGGCGGCAACCAGCUUAGAGGAGCAUCUAUGGGAGAAGAAUAAAGCUGAUGCCCACCUCGGGAAAGCACAUCACCAAUGCACAGAUCUAGAGUUGGGAACCACAUCAUGGUGCGAUCGAUGACUGAUCUUUGAGGAGCCAAGGAGUCAAGGGGAUGAAAGCGUACAGAUGGCAGGAGAGGGAAAGAGACCAGAUCUUACCACCGCCAUGUCGUACUUCCAAGGUCUGGUGGGAUCCUCAUGUGCUGCCAGGAUCUGGGCGAGUUCCUUAUCCAUUGCCACAGGGAAGAAGGCCUAGGAGAAAGGCUCACGGAGAGGGAGGAAUGAAGCUGCCUUUCAUGUGUGUCUAGGGACCACAGUCGUGGAGGAGCGACGACGGCGAUCCGAGAGGUGCGUGCAAAUGCAAGGGGCAUCGGCGGCCUGGAAAGAGAGAAUGGAGAGGGGAAUGAGGAGGGAAAGAGCUCGGCACUCUGCUAGGUGGAAGGGGCUCCCUGCAAAAUAUCAAGGGGAUUCUGCAAAAGAUGAGCAAGUCACGAAUUUCUUCUUCUCCAUGUGCGAAUAAAAUUUAUUUCAGGUUAUGGACUAUGCAGUGGAGCGCGGGUUAGUUUUUGAAGAAAUGGAGUGCAUCUCUGUAAAAUCGUCAAAGGCAUACCUGUCGCCACGGUAGAAAGCCACGGAGGCCAGAAUUCUCUGGAGGCAGCGAAGUCGAGUGACUUUUAAUCAACCCCGAUACGUGCAACAUUUAUAUCUCCAAAUAAAUUUGUUAAAAAACUAGAUUCAAAGAUCUUUCUAAUGAUACUAAUUAUGUAUUAUAAAUAUUAAUAUUUUUUAAUAUAUAAUUGCCGGCAGUUGUUUUUGGGAAGCGCAAACGACAAUUAAAAAGAGACGGAGGGAGUAUGUAUUGAAAAUAGGGAUACAAUAAGGACAAUCGUACGUACAUAUGGAAGGUUAGAAGUGUGAAUUAUUUGAUUUGCUGGGCAAGCAAGCCCUUUGUCUAUUCAUCGAUGACGCUAUUUAUCGUGUAUUGUCUUCUCAUUGUACAUAACUGAAGGACCGAAAAUGGUAACCAGGAGAAGGUGACUGAAAGCCUCAAAUUUCUUUUGAAAUAUUUGGCCACUGUCCUAAAAUCACUUCCAAGUACAAAUGAGUUUCAGGAUUAAGAUAUCCAGGCCAACUAGUGUCGAGAGUAUCUAGAUUGAUUGCUCGUAGCGGGAAAAAAUUAACGCAAUAAACGGAACACGAUUCGGAGAUCAAGCGAUUAAACUAUACACGAAAUAGAAAAUCAAGAUAGAGUAAAAGAGACUGAAAAAUGCAAAGAAAAAUCAAGCUUGAUGAACACAGAGAAAACUGCGCAGGUAUUGACACGCACACUGCAAUCAACUUCUGAGCUAAACAAAACUAGGGAUCACAGGCAAACAGCUGCUGCUUCAGUGCUGAAAUACUCUGCCACACAGCAAGAACAGGCGAGGGUGCCUGAACCCAAAAGAUAGCUCCUGCAUGGUGCCUAGGAGCACGAGCACGGCUCCUGCCUCGGCCUCCACGACGAACGAGCAGCCGACCUCCCACGAUGAACAGCACGGCUGUUAGAUAAGCCUAGCAUCUAUAUUUAGCACUUGCAUGUUUUUCUUUGAGUUGAGCACAUGCACAAGCACCAACUUAUGGUCGCCGUGCGUAUAGGAAGAGAUGGCCGAGGAUAGCUCGCCACGAACUCUGGCAUGCAACCACGGGCGAUAUUCGCGAGCGUGGGGAUGGACGCGCAAUUCUACGUUGUGUGUAUUGUGGACGCUAUGCGCUGCAUCAUUGUAUUUUUUCAAUAAAUAGAACAAUAACACCCAGAAAAGCUGUGCUUUUGCAAGCAGCACCAAAUUCACUUGCGCACAGUUCGCGUUCCAGUUCGUUCGCCUCGUCUCCAUCGGCGUACAUAGCUGUCCGGUGACUAACAACGGCAACAGGUCAGGGCCAAAACAAUCGGCACAGCCUGUACGACUCAGCUGCAGGGGAAACGGCAACAGACGCAAAACUGAUUGACGCCGAGCCUGACCGCACCGGUGGCCAGCUGUCCCCCUCACCAGUAUGCUCAACUGGAGCUCAGGCCUUGUUUAGUUCACCCAAAAAUUUAAAAUUUUUCAAAAUUUUCUAUCACAUCAAAUUUUAUAGCACAUACAUGAAGUAUUAAAUAUAGAAAAAAAUAAAAACUAAUUGCACAAUUUACCUGUAAAUCGCAAAAUGAAUCUUUUGAGCUAAGUUAGUCUAUGAUUGAACAAUAAUUAUCAAAUAAAAACGAAAAUACUACGGUAUGCAAAACCAAAAAAAUUCAAAACUAAACAAGGCUGCACGUGAUGAACAGAGGAAGCCGACGGAAGAAAACCAAAUAAAAAUCAACAUCAAGAUGAUUCGCUCCUAAACUAAGCACAGGUGAUCUCAAUAAAGUUGAUGACCAUACUUUAUGAGAUCAUCGCUCAAAAUCAACUCAUAACUUGGGAAAGUCAGAUCACGUGGAAGAACUAAAAAAACCCCAAAACCAAAAAUUGCUUGGAUCUUGAUGCACGAGUAGAAUUGAUUCAAAUCACUUGGUGAGCAUGUACAUCACUUGAUGGAGCAUCAUCAGAGCCAAACCAAUUCCACAGAAAACUCAAUACGAGCACGGAUCAAGAAAGGGAGAAAACUGAUGAACAGUAACUCAGAAAAAUAAAAAAUAGGAACACAAACAACAUUGCUCAGAUCUUCAUGUCCAGAGGACAGGGGGAGGUUAGGGCCUGCAUUCCCAAAUCCAAAAGUCUCAGAAAUCACCACGAAUCUUUGUUCAAGUGACCUCUCCCAUGAACUAAGCAGAAGGGGAAAAAACUAACCCUAGGUGGGAAUGAGAGAAAUGAUAGGAUGGGAGAGUGGUGAGGGAGAUGGGGGACUCCCCCUCCUUAAUUAUCGGGCAUAUUACACAUUCCCUAUUUGUCCCUAUAUAUUUUUGAGUGAACUAGCUAGCCUCAGAGGUAUUCUAGUCCAACUCGACAUAACCUAAAUUCGACGGCCACCAUAUGUCCUUCAUGAGGUAACUUAGCCUUGACGCCAACUCCUCGAUGCCGCCACGUGCCGUCCGUUCCUCGGAACAUCCGCCCUGGUUUUGAUGCCCAAACCCGCGAAACCCGCCGCCAGUAGCGUACUCCAUACGCUUCCCCUGCCACUCGACAUGUGUCACCUCCGUCUUUGACCGGCCAGCCCGCCAAGUCCUCCUGAGCCUCGCUCGACUCUCACGUCCACCGUCUUGACUUGGUCGAUACGGUCACUCUCAUGUACACUUGCAUUUAUCGAUGUCCUAGAUGUCAGCCACUACGACUGGUCACCCGGCCUCCUGGUCCGUGAGUCCAAGCCUCACAUCAAACCUUCACCGCUCUAGGUCCAUUGGCACGAUACGUCUCUACUUGACCUUCUCCUCGCCGUCGAUCACCGCUUCCGAGCUCCACACCUGCAUACCACAAGCCAAGAGACAUGUCACAUGACACAACUCACGCCAAUGGUUAGUCACCAACUCAAUCUAGAUCAUGGAUCACGUUGAUAAUCACUCAUCACAAAUCGAAGCACAAGGGCACAUUUCAACCUUAUUAUGUUCGCAAUAACUGUUUUUAAGAAUCCUAUGUUAAUCCCUCUCAACCUACAUAUGUGUAGCCAUCCUACAAAACUCAGCCUAUAUCAAUCCUGCCUUCUUUUGGAUCUGGAAAUCAAAAUGCAUCCUAAGAAUUAAGGGCUAGUUUGGUUACUGCCAUGAGAAAAUUGUCUGGUGCAGGGAGCUUUCCUAGGUGGCUGAUUUUAGACGCCUGGGGUGGAGACCGAUACCUGGGGCAGUCAUCAAACCAAACAGGCCCGAAUGCUUGGCUGGUCAUGGUGGACAAGCUAAACACCAAAACUACGCUGUGGCGCCAAAGCAUUAAUAUGCAAGGAGAUGUUUACCACGUGACGUGCAACAACAUAAUGGGGGUAUUGGUCAAAUCACAUUCUUGAUUUUUCUAAUUACCGAUGUUGAUCGGACGUUUGUUGCAUAGUCUAUUUCAUUUAUAAUGAUGAUAUUCGAGUUAAAACCUUGGAGUAAAAUUAAAGGGGCUCUAUUUCCAUGUUUCCAGAUGUUUGAUUCUCAAAGUAAAUUAUGUUCAGAGAAAAUGAUGACAACAAAGAAGAUCAAGUAAAGUCCAAUUCUUGGUUAAUAUUACCUGAAAAAUGUCAAUGAGCUCGUUGUUGGCAAAAGCUGAUUGUCGUGUGACACAGUCAAGCAGGAAUACGCCACCUAUAUGACUACAAGUAAAAGAAAAUUAAAUGCAAACGAUAAGUCAUCCGUGAUCUCCAUCCUGAAACAUCUCUUGCGCAGCUUUACUUGAUCAGAGCAUGUUAAUAUCAAUUCAAUGGCAUGACAUCACGGACGCAGAAGUCUUUACAGUUACAGUAUAUGGAUGCCGAAGGAUGUGAAACAACAGAGAAGAAACGUUGGCGUCAAAAGGAUGGGAGAAGAAAUAUCAUAUACUUUUAUAAAGCAAAAUCAUACUACCUAUUUCUCUCAACGUCUAUUUCUCUCAACGUCUAAUCUAUCCAUCUAGGCAAUUCACUAUCAUACACAAUUAAAAUUCACUACCUCAUGCAAUUGUAAUGUCUACGUCAGCAUGUCACCUAUUUCUAUGAGCAUGCAAGCUGUCCAACUAAGUAAUACACGCUCUAACUUAUUGAUAUUCUUUCUUCAUACCCAAAACAACGCGUGAAGAAUCCUUCUAAUUUCUAUAAUGUUGCAAAGUCGUGCUAGCUUCUAGAUCGCAGCAAAAAAAUCUGAAACACCAAAAUUCCACCAUGUAGUGCGCAACGACGAUAAACACCAUGGUAGCCACAGGUACCUCGCUAUCUAUGAUAAUAUUUUCUACCAGUUGAAUACUGCUCAUUAGUCCUGGUAAAAAAAAAUACGAGCAACCAUGCAGAGUUGAUAGUGAGUGGAUUCGACCACAUCCAUCGAAAUCUCCAUGCUCAAUUCGCGUAAAUAUAAAAGGACAUAGUUCUUAUUUUUUGAGGAGUUAAACGAUUUAAAAUUUGAACAAAGCUAUAUAAAAAUUCUAACCUUUAUGAUGCAAAAUAAGUACCAUGAAGUUAAUUAUGAAAUGUAUUUUUUUAGUAAAUCUAGUUGGAGAUAUAAACUUGGUCACAGUUAAGGUUAUCUGACUUGCGUAAAUUCCAUAGUUGCAUUUUUGUGGACUGAAAAAGUAUUAUACUAAGUGGCUAGGAUUCACAACUAACAAUUGAUGGACGCUAGCUUAUCAUCUUGAUCGAUCUAAUCAUCAGUCGCCUCUUCUACGUCUCUUUCCCCGCGGGCAAAUUUUGUGGUCCGCCCCAUGAAAGCGUUCAUAACCACCCAUAUUUCUUUCCCAGAAAAGAUUUCUUUAGCUGCUCACCUAUGAAAUGCAUCAUGCAUGACAUGGUGGAAAGGUAUUGGUCAAAUAAAAUUCUUGAUAUUUAAUUACCGAUGUUGAUCGGAGGUUUCCACAAUCAUUUGCCUGUAGUAUAUUUCAUUUAUAAUAGUAAGAGAUGUAAUAAAGAAAGAUAUGUCUAGGGUUGAAAUAUAUAUGGAGGUAUAUGACGACAUACACCUUUUUUAGUAACGCCAAACAGGCAAAGACGCUACAUGUAAACAUAUCGAUGAUAUUUGAGUUCAAAUCGUGGAGUAAAAGGGUCUCUGCUUCCUUGUUUCUAAAUUUUUAAUUUUCAAAGUAAAUAUUCCUUCAAAGAGAGUGAUGGCUAGAUCUAGUGUAUUAGAGUCGAACUCUUGGUAAAUAUUACCUGCAAUGUCAAUGAUCACAUUGUUAGGAAGAGUUGAUUAUCGUGUGACACAAUCAAGCAGAAAUACGCCACCAAUAGGACUACAAUAAAAACAAAAUUAGGCCUUGUUUAGUUGGUGAAUUUUUUUGCUUUUCGCUACUAUAGCACUUUCGUUUGUAUUUGGUAAUUAUUGUAUAAGGACUAUUUAUGGCUCGAAAGAUUUGUCUCAUAAAUUUUAGACAAACUAUAUAAUUAAUUAUUUUUUAUUUUUAUUGCUUGAUGCAUAUGCCGUAAGAUUCGAUGUGACGGUGAAUCUUGAGAAAUUUGGGAACUAAAUAAGCCCUAAUAUGGAAGCGAUCAGUCGGUCCGUGCACCUUCAUCUCCUCCUGGGCCGAGUUUAGUUGCCGAAGAAUUUUGCAAAAUGGUCAAGAUUUCCCGUUGUAUCGAAUCUCGCGGCACAUGCAUAAAGCAUUAAAUUUGGAUAAAAAAUAACUAAAUGCAUAGUUUGCCUAUAAUUUAGGAGACAGAUCUUUUGAGUCUAGUUAGUGUUGGAAAUAAAAGCAAUUUAGCGAUGCAUAGAUUAAUUCCGACAACAAGAAAAAGACUAACAACAUGUAUCACAGAUACAUGAAUCAAAACUAGCACUACGAUUUGAGACAAAUUCACGAGAUCUAGUGCUAGCAAUAGAAAUGAUAUGAGAGCGAACAACAGCGAGAAGGUAGACAUCCUUACAGGGGGUUGUUGGCGCGAAGGAAGAAGAAGAAAAGGACCAUCGACGGAGAUCGGCAAACACUGGACGUAGAGGGAAGAAGAUGUCCAGCGAGCAGUCGCGACGACGCUUUCCAAAAACCUGAUAUGCCCCCUACCUCGAGCAGGGGUGCAAGAGGCGUAGGCUUCAGAGCCUACUCUCCUAACACCGAUGGCACGUCGGCGACGGGAUGGAAAAGACAGCGGCAGCGUAGUAAUGUGGUGAGGAAGAGAUGAAUCUCUCGGUACUGAGGAGGACAUCUCGCUCCAUAUUUAUACACACGUCGCACGCAACUAAGGAAAGCAAUUAGCCGCUCAAUCAUUCAUAGUAUUAUGGAAAUUAUCUGCCGUUUACUGAUGAAUUAUGAGGAUGCUACGAUAGCUAGGAAACAAAAAAUUUCGACCUCAUAAAGCAAGAUCAACUACAAGUUAUAAAUCACGGGAUUACCACUAGACGCGCAGGUGCAGCGGAAGCGACUUGGUGUAGUCGUGCGCAUAGUAGCAGUGUCGUGCAAUUGCGUGGUCGUCCACCACGCCAAUCCCUCUCCUGCGGUUCGUCCUUGUGCUCUAGAUGCAGCACCUCCGAGGUAUCCCACACGUGUGGGGAAGAAGCAUUACGCGUCCGGACUACUAGGUCCGCGAGGAGCAAUAGGCACGAGCGUGGGUGAGCGUCGGCGGCUGCCUAAUGGCAUUAGAUUUUUUCCUAGCCACACCCUCUCCCUCUCUUAUAUAGGCGUCCUCCAAUCAGCCAUGAGUCGGAGGCCCAAUUAGAAACCCUAAGCCUUGUCUAAUUCGAGACCAACCCGAAUUAGGUUUCCAGCCCCUUAAGCGUGCGACCCUAUGGGUUGACUUAUAUAUAGACAUGGGUCGAGUACUCCUACUCCCCAAUAGUUGACAGCGGCCUCUAGCAAGGCGUGACAACUCCUAUACGUAUGCAAAGAUCAUAUCAGACGAUCCACUACAUACAUAUACAUGUUAUUCCCUUGCCACACGAUAUUUGGUCCAACUCAUGGGUUAACACUUAACCCAAUCACGGCCAUGCAUUUGUUGAUCCAAUCACUUGAGUGAUCCAGUGAUAUCUCUCUCACAUAGAGAGGGGCAAGUUCCAUCUUGAUCAUCUAUGUCUCACAUCAUGUUUCCCGACAAACCCGAAGACCACCUUUAUAACUACCCUCUAAUGGAGUAGCGUUUAAUAGUCACUAAGUAGGUCAUUUCACAUCUUGAGAACAUACGACAAUCUCAGGUCUAAGGACAUAAUGUACAUGAUGUAUAAAGAGAUAAUAAGAACAUCUCAUGUUGGACCAGUCCAGCCCCAUGUCAUACAUGUGCCCACAUUAUUAGUUUGACAUCUCUAUGUCUAUGACUUGUGAAACAAAGUCAUCAACUAAUACAUGUGCUAAUCUAAUAUUCAUGUGUAUCCUCACACAAACUGUGAUCAGGGACAACUUUAGAAUAACCAUACAAGUAAAAGACUUUCACAAACAAUUCACAUAAUUGUUAAUCAAUACAAGUUUGUUUAUAAUGGAUAUUCAUCGAACUCAUAUCAUGCUUAGGCUGUAGAAGAGCCUUUGUCAAAGGAUCUGCAAUAUUCAAAUCCGUAUGUAUCUUGCACAUCUUAAUUUCACCUCGCCUAAUGAACUCUCGAAUGAAGUGAAACUUCCGUAGUACAUGUUUGUUCUUCUGUUGAUUCCUAGGCUCCUUAGCUUGUGCAAUCGCCCCAUUGUUGUCACAAUGUAGAUUCAAUGGGCUCGACGCAUUCGGAAACACACCAAGCUUAAAGAGGAACCUCCUCGUCCAAACACCUUCAUUCGCAGAUUAAGAAGCUACGAUGUACUGUUGAUGGUAGAUAAGUAUCAAUUUUAUAUCAACAAGAGAAUGAAAUAAGGGCAUGAAAUAAUCACCAAUAAUAGAAUAGGGUUUCAUCUGACAGAUUUCCAUAGGUUUUGGUGAAUGUCUGUUUUUGUAGGGGGUUAUCAGGAAUUAACCCUUGGAGGCCCACAUGUCAUGAUUACAUAGAGCAAAACGAGAUAUCUACGCAAUGUAUACAAAAUAAGGAUCUAGAAGAGUCAAGAAUCCACCAGAACAAAGUAGAACACGAGGGGAGUCCGGGGGAGGGCGUCUAGAGGGGGCGGCCGCCCUGCCCUCCUGACCAAUCAGGAGCAGUCUCGUGGAUUGAGCUAUAACCGCCUUUGAGGAGCAAGGAUCUUCGUCCAUUAAGUUGGUUUGAUCCAAGGCUCUUGGUUCAUCCCACCGGCCUAUAUAAGGAGUACAGCCUAGGGUUAGAGACAUUGAUUAGAAGAGAUAAUCAUUCUCAUUCAUAGAAUUCAUUCUCUACCUUCUUCUCUCUAGAGCUCUAAGUUUAGAAGCAUAGCUACAUAGAAUAAUUCUAGUUGGAGGCAAGCAUCGCUUGGUUUCUAGAUCUGUCGGAGAGAUACUCGGUAAUUCCUGUAAUCUUUCUCCUACUUUAUUCUAGUUCAUCAUUAUAUAUAUUAUUUCAUCAUAUUAUGAGUAUGUCUUUGCUCUAUUCUAUUAUAUUGGAUAUGACUUUGCUCUACUUGCUUAUAUUCUUAAUUAUAUUAUUCUUAGUCUAUUAUGAUUAUAUGCUUGGCAUAGUUGGUUUAGAUUUAUAUUCAAAUAUAUGUUCAUAUAGCGCUCACUCUUUGAUAUCAUGGGUGGUCGACAUUAUGUAGGUGUGGUGCCUAUAUCGUGUUUGCCUAUGUUUGCAUGCUAUAUUCUAGGUCGUGUGGUAGAUCGCGGGGUUGAUAUACCCAUUGAGUCCUCUGUAGUCCACCCUCUAAAUGUAGUUUUUGUAGACUCUAAUUACGAGGAGAUGAUUGCUCUGUUCUUGAUUUUCCUCAAUAAUGUCCAUAUGUUUAGAUAUAAUCUGCUCUUGCUAUGAUUGCCAAGUAUAAUUGCACUAAUCAUAAUAUGCUAGACUAUAUAGUUGGAAUAUCAUAGGAAACAUCUUAGUAGAUCAUUCUAAUUCAUGCUAGUGCUAUAGACUGGAGUACUCUAGAGAUACAUUUAUCAUUCUAUGUUUGAUUACUAUUAAUUAUAUAUAUAUAUCUAUAUUUAUCUUGAUUAUGUGACUUAACCCUGCAUUAAGUUAGAUAGAUAAGAUGUGGUUGCCCUCAUGAGAUUACAUGCAAGUGAUAUCUAUUCCCUUGGCUAUCCUUCCCGCGGGUAAAAUUAUAAAUACGAUACCAGGAACUUCCCUUGGUGAAAUGCUACAAUGGUACACAUUUGUGCGCUUGCGGAUACCUUAUUCUAUAUUCAUCAUUCUAAGAGGGCAUUACAUAUUUACUACCACUAGCGUAUUUCUUGGGGUCAUGCUGGGGAUGGCAACCUAGCCACUGAGGAUAGGGUCUUUACUCUACUCUUAAUAUGUGAUGCUAAAAAAUGCCAACGAGUAUUUGUGGCACCAUUGUCAGGGAAGGUUUUGGCUAUUCAAAAGGAAUUAGAGACAUCACUUGUAAACCACUCUCACAUGAGGCAUUAUUAUUAUCUCUAACUUAUGCAGGCUCACCCUUGUCUUUUGUCUAUUUAUGUAUCUUAUGCAGGGUGAUGUAUGAAAAGAUCUGAUCUUCCAGAUAAUUUCACUAUCUAUCCAGAAGCAAUACUCAAGAGAAAUAGAGCUAUGUUGAAGAAAGUACACAAAUCACCAUCAUUAUCAUCAUCAUCUUCAUCUGAGCUCGAAGAUUCAAUUGAUUCGGAAGGUCAUUCAAGAGUUAUUCGAAGUUUGACACCAGAGUUUGAAGCGAUGGCCGAAAGAUCACUUUGCGAGUUCUCUCCUCCCACCACUGACAACAUCCACACUAGACCUAUUGUAAAUAUUGGCGAUCAACCAUUUGAGCUCAAGCCGGUGCUGAUCAACAUGGUGCAAGCUAGCUGGUUUUGCGGAAAGACGCAUGAAGAUGCGAGUGCUCAUCUUCAGAACUUUCUGGAGAUAUGUAGCACUUUCACUAUCAAAUGAGUUACAAGAGACACCAUACUACUCUGUCUUUUCCCAUUCUCACUCUUGGGAAGGGCGAAGCAGUGGUUCUACACUAACAAGGACAAGAACACUACAUGGACGAUCUGUUCCACCAACUUCCUGGCUAAAUUCUUCCCUGUGGGCAAGUCGAAUGCUCUGUGAGGGAAAAUUUCAAGUUUUCAACAACAUAAUGAUGAGACAGUCCCAGAGGCCUAGGAGCACUUCCAAGAUUACAUCCUAGAAUGACGUCAUCAUGGAAUAGAGAAUUGGCUACUCAUGCUAACAUUCUAUCAUGGGUUCUCCAAUAGCACCCGUGAGACCAUGGAUGCCGCUGCUAGAGGAGCAUUCUUAUCAUCGACUCUUGCUCAAGCCACUGCUCUUGUGGAAAAGAUGGCCUCCAAUCAAGGUUGGAGUGGAGAACGUGCGCAAACCCGCAAGAGAGGUGGAGGUAUGCACCAGCGCAAGGUAGUAGAUAUGCUGAGCACCAAGAUGGACUUUCUGAUGAAGAGGCUCAAUGAUAGAGCUAGUGAGAAGAACAAGGUCAUGCACAUUAUUGACUCUCGUAUGACUUGUGAAGAAUGUGGAGACACUGGGCAUUCAGGCAACCACUGCCCAACACUCCAGGAGGAUAUGAGCUACCUCAACAACAACUACUAAAAUCGUCCUAAAAAAUCAAGGCUGGAAUCAACAGAGGCCUAACUACUCAACCAACUACUCCUCAUGUAACUACCAAGGUAACAACUUUAGCAAUAAUUUCAAUCAACCACCUUUGAGAGAGUUAGUUGUGAAUCAAGGAAAACUCAUGGAUAAUCUGUCUAAGAAAAUUGCAUCCAGUGAUAAAACUUUAGAAACCAUAAAUGCUAGGAUGGAUAACUUUGCAAUAGCAAUUAAGAAUCAACACAACUUUAAUAAAAUGAUUGAAUCUCAAUUGAUAAUUGUUGUUCCUACUACUAACCAAGGAAAGAUUCUAGGGCAACCGAAAGAAUUAGAAUCUACAAAUCUUGUUGAUAUAUACACUGCAGGGAAGUAUUUUAGGGCUAUAUCAACUGGAGGCUAGAAAUAUGAGUCCUUGCCUGAGAAGAAAGGUGAUCCAGGAAGGCCGAUCAUCCCCAUCAACAUUGGAUGCAACCACUUCCUAGAAGUCCUUUGUGACUUUGGUGCAAGCGUCAAUAUCAUGCCUAAGGUAUUAUACGAGAAAAUUCAUGGAGAUCCAUUGUUGUAUACAACCAUGUGCUUGCAGAUGGCAGACUAUAUGCUAUGCUACCCGAAAGGAAUCCUUGAAGAUGUCUAUGUUCGAGUUGGCCAAUCAUAUGUCCCUGCAAACUUCAUGGUAAUAGAGAUCGGAGGUGAUGAGAGAGCACCCAUCAUCUUGAGUGCCCAUUCUUGUGCACCACCAAGGCCAUCAUCUACACCGACAAUGCAAAGAUCAGUUUCAACAUCAAGGGGAGAAAGGAGAUGUUCACCUUCCGAAAGUGUACACUCAAAGAUCCUGCACAUCCUGAGACACUGUACGAUCAUCAGAACUAUGAUGGAGCUGAGAUAAAGAAGAAGAAUCAAAGGAACAGGAACCGACAACCAAUGGUUGAGUCAGUGAGGAUGGUCACAGCCGUUGACAAAGACCAUGACCAUCUCCUCAUAUCUCGCCACUUGAUCAAAAGAGAAGACCCUGGUGCGCCAACUAUUGAAUGGUCACAGCCGUUGACAAAGACCAUAAAUAGAUGCUCCUUUUAGAAGACAGUUUGCGACACUAGAGCCAAAGUCAACAUCAUGGCUAAGGUAACCUAUGAAUUUCCUUUAGGAGGAAAAGGAAGUUGAGGACACUUUUUCCAAUAUGCUCUUCUAAGAAGGUCUGAUCGACGUACAAGCAUCUUAGCUAACUGAAAGUCUAAAUCAUCAUUGUGAGGUUUUGAUGGUUUAGAGUUGAUAACUAAAUCUUGGGAUUGGGGUGAUUGUGUUUUAGCUACCAAAACUUCCUCUUCUUGUUUGGGAGAUGAUUCCUUCUCUUCCUCGGAGAGCUCAAGAUAGGCCUGAACAACCUUUUCUAGCAUCGGUCUGGCUUCAGUUAUAGGCAAGUGAAGAAAAGCUCCUCCAGAGGCUAAAUCAAGGGAUUCCUUAGAUUCUUUGGUAAGACCCAAAUACAAAUAUUGAAGAAGCAUGGGGUCUGGAAAACCAAGGUCACGGCCAAAUGUGAUAAGUUCAUUAAAAUGCUCCCAUGAUUUACUAAGAGAUUCUUGUUCUAGUUGCCUAAAAGUUUGAACCUCUUUUCGAAGGCUAGCUACCUUGGAGAUGGGAAAAAAGUGUAAACAUAAUUAAAAAUAUACCAUGUCCCAAUCACCCUACAUACUCCCUAUGACUCGAUUAUACCAAUGUUUAGCUUUUCCUGUCAAGGAAAACGAAAAAAGCUUCCAUCUAAUAGUCUUAUCAGACAUGCCAUUAAUGCGCAAGCAUGCACAGGUCUGCUCGAAUUCUCAUAGAUGUAAGUAUGGGUUUUCAUUACCUUCUCUCGAGAAGGGUUUAUCCCGUACCAUAUUAAUUAAACAUGGGCGCAGCUCAUAGCCAGGUGUUGUGAUAGGUUCAUUAGAUUUUGGUGGCCUGAAGCUUCCACACAUGCCAUAAGGACAUAUAGGAAUAGAAUUAAAAGCAUCCAUAAGGAUGAACCCAAAAAUAAUGAUGAGAAUGAGAUAAAAAUAAGAAAACAUAAAAGUAUAAUACAAGAUUAAAAUGCUUGUUGGUAUAAAUUAACUGCACUCCUUUAAAUAAGACUUAAGUAAGAUUAUCCGCAAACGCACAGAUAUCGUACUAAUGUCACAUUUUACCCGGAGGUUUUAAAUAUCGUAUCCACAGGGAACAGUUGUGAUAAUGACAAAGUCUAUAGACCUAACCCAACAAUUAGGCAAGAUAAAUAUCGAGAAAGAGGAAAUAGCUAAUGACUUCUAGUUCCGACAACCGGUAAGCUUUGUAUAAUAUUGUUCUAACUAGGUAGUAACCUAAUAGGAGAAGAAAUAGAGUAGUCUCCAACCGGCACUUCUGGGGCUCCUAUCAGUCCUAUCAAUGGGAAAUGAACUACAGAGGAACCAACGCAGCUGUCACCUACACGGACUACCACUAUCCGACUAAUAAGGGGACAUCCACAAGUAAACCUAGCCUAGGCACCACGCCUACACUACGGAAUACAACUUUAACCUACAGGGUCCUAUAGAUCAAAGUACUCAAUACAAGUUGCAAACUGAAGAACGAAUAAAAACAAAUGCUUACUUGAAUCAGAAUGUUGAUUACAAAAGUACCUCAUAAUGCAGCUCCGGGCAAGGGAGCUGAACCCUGAAGAAUACAGCAAAGAAGCGCCGACAUGCCAGAAAUCCUCCACAACUCUACUCCUCUACUCUAUCUCUCUAUUAGUCUCUUCUAAUAGCUACACCUAUCUUUUAAUCUCUAGAGAAGAGAUGUUAUCCAUUCGAGGGACACCUAUACAACUCAUAAUAAUGGUGCACUCAAAUAUGAGGGUCUACCUCUUUAUUUAUAGCCUAGAAAAGCCUCCCACCUCUUCUGAACAGGCGAUAUGUGGAACUAAUUUUCCACCGUUUGCUCUGUUGGGCUAUUAUACAUCAACUUGAGCCUUCCAAUCAUCCCUCAUGUGAGCCCACUCAAAGGAGCAGCAGCUUGGGGCACCUCUCUUGGGCCUCUAUCAUGCCAUAUGAGCCUCUUCUCACGUCAUGGGCCUUCCUUGGGGGUGGGGCCCAUUAGUGGCAAUUCUCCUUUAUUUGUAAAAUUAAUAUCUUUUCACUCCAGACUCCAAAUAUAGCAAAUGGUAUGUCCGUUUCGAUCGUCUUGACGAGCCCAUUGCAAUGGUGUCAUCCAAAACGUCAUUUGACAUAUUUUUAUUUGAUGGAAAAUUGCAUAUUCCUACAAAACAAGUGAGAGCACCAAAACUCGUGGAACUUGUUAAAAUCAAAACCUACAACUAUGCUUUGUGAUUUAUUUUAUAUUAAAUUAUGUAAUAGUUGACGGUUAUAUUUGGUACUUAAUGACCGUCAACUUUUUAUAGCAAUGUUCCUUAUACAUAAACGAAGAGUCUUUUGUGCUAUAUAUGAUAGUGUAGCAUUAGAGUAGAUGGAUGACUUGAUAAAUUAGAACUACAUAGGAUUUUCUGUCUCUUGAACUAAUCAAACGUCUACCUAAUAUUAAGCUGAGUAGUCUAUAUCUAGUCUCUAUAUUCCCUGGGCUUCUAUAUUUUAUAUAUUAUAUAUCUAUGGUUUACUCUCUUGCCAAGUAUGUGACUAUGCAACCCAAUCACUCAUAAGUAGACAUGUUUUGCAAGUUGAUCUCAUUGUUUAAGUCCUUAGUUCUUUUCCUUGAACUAAAUAUAAAUAAUAAUACCAGGAAUACUUCUCGGUGAAGUGCUACAAUGGUAUUUAAUCUGUACGCUUGCGGAUCCUAUAUUUAUUUUAUUAGUGGACAGUUUUUAUACCACACUUCUAGCACCAUGCUAGGGAUGACAACUUAGCUUAAGUAGUGUUAGAAGUGUCAACAAGCAUUUCUGACGCCGUUGCCGGGGAAGGAAUAAACUUUUAGAGAAAAAUUGCCUAAACAGAUACUUAAUAAAUGAGUAUGUAGCUUGCUAGUGACCUCUACUUGGCAGGUUUACCCUUGUUUGUUUUUUCUGUGUUUAUUUUUUAUACAGGGUAAUAGCAGGAUUGAAUCUGAUUCACUCAAUUCUUUAUCUAAAUUGGGUCAAUCAAGAAGGAAGCUCAUCACAAGUAUUUGAAGCUAUGGCUAAAAAUACCUUGUUGGAGUUCUCUGCUCAAAUAGUGGAGAACAUCCACACUAGUCCAGUACUGAGAACAAAAAAUAUUGAGUUUGAGCUCAAGCCAAGCCUCAUCAACAUGGUGCAAGCUAUCCAGUACAGUGGAAAGGAAAAUGAAGAUGCAAGUACACAUAUACAACUUCAUGGAGAUUGGAAACACCAUCGCCACAGAAAGAGUUAAUAAAUAUAUCAUACUACUUCACCUCUUUCCAUUCUCACUAGUGGGAAGAGCGAAGCAAGGGUUCUAUGCCAACAAUGAAGACAUCAACACAUGGGGCAAAGUGUACCAAGGCCUUUCUAGCAAAAUUCUUCCCAAUAGGUAAGACAAAUGCCUUAAGAGGAAAGAUUACCAACUUCCAACAACAAAAGACAAAAAGCAUUUUAGAAGCAUGGGAGCGUUUGCAAGGAUACAUUCAAGAUUGUCCUCAUCAUGGAAUAGAAGAAUGGUUACUCAUGUAAGACUUUUAUCAUGGAUUAAAUCAAAAGACAAGUGAGCACCUGGAUGCCACUGCUGAAGGAUCAUUCUUAUCACUCACUCUUGGGAAAGCUAAGGAGCUUAUGGAGAAGAUAUCAGAUAAUCAAAGCUGGUCCCAAGACAAAGGUGUAGAAGCAAUUGAAGAAGUAAAUGCACUGUCCACCAAGAUGGAUGACUUGCUCCACUGGUUAGACUAGAGGGCCAAGUAUAAGGAAUACCAGAGGGCGACUGAAGCAAUAUCUAAAUCAAAUUCAAGUCCUACCGUUAGGAAAGUUCCACAUCAACCAAAUUGGAGAUAGCAUCAAAAUAGCCAAGGUAUGAAUUCAGGUAAUUUUACAAAUCAACCAUCUUUAAGAGAGAUAAUUAUGUAGCAAUCCAAAAUCAAUCUAGACAUUAAAGCUAGGCUUGCUAAUUAUGAUAAAACCUUGUGUUGGGUAUUUUAAACGCAAACAGAAAAAAUCCGCAAGCGCACGGAUACCGAUGUAGCCUUCACCCGGGAGUAUUCCAGAGUAUCGAUUUUCCACAGAGAACGUGACUGUACUAAUUAAGAAUCAAGAUCGCCCAAGGAUAACUAUAUAAUUAUUUUUGGUGGGAAGAGAGGAAGUUUCCAGAGAGUUCUCUAGUUGAUCUAAGAAUCAAGAAUUACUUCAAGAUUAUCUAUUUUGGGACAUCAGAACACUAACCACAGAAAGAGAUGAGAAGGGGGCUAGGAAGCUCUGACUACGGUCCUACAAACACCGAUCCGAACGAGGUGGAAUACGUCGACCGUUAGGGCUGUCACUACCCUAGGGCUACCACAACAAUCCGCAGGAUUGGGUGCAAUUCUAGGUAAUUGCAAGACUAAACACCACGACUAAUCUAUUAAUUACUACUCUAAUGUUUCAAAGAUUAGAGCACUUGAUGCAAGCGGGAAUCUAAUAAAUAACUUGAAUGUAAAUAAAAGUAAUUAAAGAACUCAGGAAUUAUGAAUUGAAGAACCUGGAGAACGAUGAAGAACGAACCAGUUGCUGCAAAAGUACAAUGUUGAGGAAGAUCCGACAGAUCCGGCUCCUCCUCCGCUCUCCUCUUCUCUCUCCCUAUUUUCUAGAUUACAACUAGAACUAACUAGAACUAGAACUAGAGGAACUAGAACUAGAACUAGAUGAACUAGAACUAGAACUAGAUAAACUAGAGGUAGAACUAGAAGAACUAGAGGGAUACUCUCUACUUGGAUGAAGAAUUGAAAUGCUAGCUUUGAUUCUGUAGAAGAGGUAUGAUCUCCAGGGGCCAGGGGACCUUGCUUAUAUAGUCUUUUCAAAUGAGUCUAGUCUGUCGGAUCAAACCGACAUUGAUCGUGUGGUUUUCCUUGAAGUAUUAGGUCGGUGGAGCAUGAUCUCCGAGCUUCACCCUGAUUGGUCCAGGGGGGAGGGCGGGCGCCCAGUAAGGGAGGGCGGGCGCCCAGUGCCCGGCCCCGUCACGUCUCCCGUUCGCUCCCGUGGCUUCUAGACUCUUCUAGAUGGUAGAUAAUUGCGCGUCAAGUUAAUAUCCCUAUGUAAACCCAACGUGUGGGCCAUUCUUCCGUAUUUCCUGAUAACCCCCUACAGAAAUAGAUAAACACCAAAACUCGUGGAAUUCUGUCAGAUAAAACCCUAAGUCUACUUGUUAGUUGCAUUUGGAUCCUUUUCCAUGAUUAAUUGAUGGUUAAAUGUGAGCAUUAAGGACCGUCAACAAGCUCCCCCAAGCUUAACCUUUGCUCGUCCCUGAGCAAAGAUAAACUCAAAAGCUUCUGCAGUGGUUUCAUGUCUUAAAGAUAUACAUGCAUUCCAACAAGAUCUCAUCUCUGGGUUAGGGUAAACUGUUAAUAUUUAAACUUACUCAUAUUACCUUCCACCAUGGGGCUUGUAACCGUCACCUGUGUCUUGAGCAGUUAAAAGAUAGAACGGUCUAGUCAAGCGCCAUGUCUCUUGUCUUCGAUUAACUAUAGCUCUGGAGUUUUUGUAGAUUUUCAAAUAAAACUCAGAGAUUCCUGUAUGACUCUCUCUAGUCUCUCUUUUGUGGUAUUUCUGGAUCCUUACCAAGGCAGUGAUGAUAUAUGCCUUCUCUCAAAGUAUGUGGUAUUUGUGGUAUGAGGCAUAGUGAUAUUGCCUUCUCUCUCACCCUAUUCUAAUAAGGUUUGAUAUCUCGAGCUCAUAGGUGGGAGACAGCUAAUACGUACUUACAAGACAUUUAUUGCAUAGUCAAACCAUGGAUCCAGAGAAACAAGUCAAUAAGUCAAAUCAAGAUGUGCAUGUGUGGCGGAUGAUUGGUGUAUGGUGAUGAUGGUGAUAAUGGUGAAAAUCUAAUUCUACUUUUGCUCAUUUUAGGGGAUACAUACCUUUCUUGCACUUUGAUACUUGUUGAAGGGAAUGAGAUGCUCUAUAUUUUCUUCUUAUUUUUUUUUCUUUUUUCUUUUUUUUCUUUUUUUCUCAGGUGGGUAUCUUGUACCCCUAAUUCUACUGUCGGACACUUGCCCCUUUUUAUUUCCUCGUAUUCACUCCCUUUUUUUAGAGCACUCACCCUCCUAGAAUAAUGUAGCAAGUGGUAGUAACCAAAAUAUCUCGAGCAUUUAUUUCACGGGGAAUAACAGGGAUAGGAUAAUGUUUUUGGCUAUUCUCUCCUGGAUAGGAGUAGAAUAAUUUUAGGUGAAUCUGGAGAUGGAAAGGAGUGGAUGUAUGUGGAUGCGUAAUUCCGGAGUAGAAGCAGCAUGUAUUAGUGAACGUGCAAGUGAAUCUUGAUUUUAACCACAUGACAAGCUCCUAAGGGUCUACACAGCUUGACCACACUCAAUGCUCAUAAGCAGUAAAAAGUAAAUGUAUGGUUCAUAGUCCAAUAAGCAUGUAUAUAUGGCUGUGGUAGGAUUUUAAACUCUCAUCAUACAGGAACUCAUCAUGUGAUAUUUUAAAGAUUUUCAAAGAUAAAAUUCUCCAGAAUUCUAUCAUCUCUAAGAACAGAUAAACAGCAGCUCAACCUUCCCAUAUCAUAUCCGUUAACGAGUUAGACUUCAGAUCAAGUACUCUUCCCACAAGUUCAGGUUUAGAGCAAAUCUUAAUUAAUAACAGUCAUGCCUAAACUUGAAAGAGAUUUCAAUUUUGACAACUAGUCAUGGCAGAGCAACUAUUCAUCAUUUCCAUGUGAGAGCUUAUCAUGAGGGUUCAAACUUUAUUUAUUUAUUUAUUUAGCAAACUAAGCAAAGAUAUAUAUAUAAGCACAAAAUCUUUAUUUGGGUUUUUAUGAUUAUGCAUCUUUUUAUUAUUUGAGUAAAAUAUAAACGUGAGUGGAACACUUAGCUGGAUGAAUGGGGGUGCUCUCCCCCAAGCUAGAUUUUGACGGAAUUUCUUCUGAUGUAGCUAGCAGGUGGUAGAGGUGUAUUUGAAUGUCGGCAGCACCCUGACAGCGAGUAGGAUGUCCUCCGUCUGCUAGUUGUCACAGAACCGACCAAAUUAUAAGAGUUCAAUUGCAGAAACGAUCGCCAAGCAAUCAAGUUUCCAAACUUGAGCCCAUAUAAUCCCGGUAGUCAAUUGAAAUCACGAAGGACUUCAAACCAACUCGCAACAAACCAAGAUCGUAAUAGUUCAACAUAAACACAACGAAUGUUACAUAGCCAUACAUUGCCGUCGAAGCGGCACCGCAUCGGAGUAUUAAGUUAUUACAACACUUGUUCGAAGUAGCAGAAGCAAAAUAAUUACACACACAUUCCAAAGUUCAGUUCAUAAGUUUGGGUUACUGCCAGAGUCUACACCAUCCUUCCAAAAGCAACAGGUACGAAGUUGUUAGAGAACCGUGCUCAACGGUUAAUCCUCAUCCCCAGCGGGAUGGAGACAGGUCUUGCAGAAACCGUCAUAGAAGAUGUCAUCUGCAACAGGUGGGAAUAAACCCUGAGUACGAGAAUGUACUCAGCUAGACUUACCCGUCUAGUAAAACAUAAAAGACACCAAGGAUCAUGCAAGGCCAAAUAUCAAGUGGAGCUGGUUGACUCUCCUUUUGCCAAAAGCUUAAAUUACGACUAAAUUAAUUCGAGAGCAUCAUAUUUAUUCAUCAUCAGCCUACCACUAGAUUAGCACCUGUACUACAACACAUCACUUGAUUAUUACAAUCAAUAAUAACCAUAUCAAAUUCAUCAUAUGUUCUUCCUGCUAUCCUCAUUAUCAUGAACCAAGUUCAUUAGUGAAUGCUACGUUUGCCGCUGCUCUGUCAAGUUCUCACUAACCGGGAGAGACGGCGAUUCGAAUCGAAUUCCUAUCCAGCUGGAGGGUUAUUCCUAGCACUCACCCAAGCAUCCCCUGCCAGAGAGCCAACGGGUCACCUUUGGUACAACUCAGGAAUCGCGGCUCCGAUCAGCGCCGCACUCCCAGGGCUACCACUCUGCCAGGGAGGUCAGGAAUUUUAACUCACCUGCCUUUGGACUUACGCCAAUGGUCCCCCGCACACCGCACUUCCUCCGGUAGUGCGCACUUUAUACUUGCCGGUCUUCCGGCCUGAGUCAUACUACUCGGCUUCGCGGUCGGAACGAGUUAUCCGGCCAACUAAGUGUUAGGCAUGCGUUCAACAUGACAAGAGGACGUACAACGAUCGGUCCUUAGCUGCCACAGACGGAGUCACUACAAACUUGCAAAACUCCGCCCGGCUUAAGUCAAUUUAAUCAGGUUCCAUCCACGAUAGCACAUAUAGACCAUCGUGAUCUGACAUAACCCUAUAUCGCGCAGGUGACAGGAUAUCACCCGAUUUCUACCGAUUAAAGCAUGGCUAAGCUGCUACUCGAUCCUAACUCUACAACCAGGGUGUGUUGAGUUAUCUGGACAAGGAUAGAGUAGAAUGCAGCAACAGUUUCAUCACAACUCCUAUACGUAAUGCAUCAAUAGAUAGAACAUAUUGAGUGAACUUUCGAAAAUAAAGGGAGACUUAGAAUGCUCCGGGGCUUGCCUUUCACGAACGAUGCCGGCUCGUGAUUCGGACACUCAACUUCUUCUUCGGGCUCCUCGAGUCCGGCUUGCUAGACCUCCACCUCUUGGCUGCCCUCCUGGCCUUCGGGAUUCACUUGCAGCUCGUAGGAGGCUGUCGCGUCCGAUGCACCUAUUGCAUGCUCGAACAAUAAGAAGAUGCACAUGCUAAAGAUGAAUGCUUGAUAACACAAGUAACUCACUGGCCACUCAUUUACGGAGCAAAGUCAUACAAGCUCACAUAAGUAAAUAAGUCAACUCAGCUCAAAACCUAUCAUGAUACUAAAACAGCAAGCAACACAAAACAAGUAUACCCAGUAAAUAAAUCAUAACUAAUGAUAGACAGGUCCAACAAUCAUGAGUGAAGACAUUCUGGAAAGCUUAUGAAAUUGUCUACUACUCAUAUUUAAUCAUCACAGCAAGAUUCAUAAGUUAAACCAGUCAUUUAAACAAAGUUCCAGGUUCUGUCCCAGAAAAACAGAGAGCACCUAUUUCUGGAACCCAACUUGGAACAGCUAUAACUUUUAAACUACUUGGCCAAAUGACCUCAAAUUUAAACUACAGCUAGUUCCACAAGUUUAGAACAACUUUGAUUUAGACAAGUUUCACAGAAAGUCAAGUUAUCAUUAAGCAAAGUUAAUUCCUUUCCUUGCUGUCCAGGACAGCCUUUAACCCUUUAAGUAAUUAUUUAAUGACAUAACCAAAACAUAAACCAUGCCAACCACAUGGCUUAUGAGCACAAACAUAUUACAAGGUUACCAGAACACCAGAUGAAGACCCCCAAACAUUUACUUCACAAGGCAUUUAUUAAUUAAUUCUAGAUAAGAGCAUAAUUACAAGAUACUAGUCAAAGUGCUCAGAAAAAUCUACAAAAAUUACAGGAACACAAGUAUAUCAUCAAAACUUCACCACAAAAAUUUCAGAGUAAUUGCACAUAUCAAAUUAAAGAUAUGUAUUUAACAUGUGCCAAGGUAUUUAUUUCAUAAAUUCAGAAACAUGACUUAUAUGGUGUCAAACAACAGAUUUCAGAUUAUUUACAUCUUAGGAAUACCAUAAACAGGUUUACUACCAAAGUAGAGCACCAGCAUAAGCACCAAUUAUUUUAUAUAAUUUAAUCAAGGAAACAAGCCAAAUUUCAACCAUAAAUUACAUAAGAAAGCUGCAGUGCUCCAAAAAUCAUGAAAUAUUUAUCAAAGCACCCUAAUACCAUACAGAGGCUACCAUAAAAUUUUCAGAGCAAACUAAGCAGUAAAACAAGAGAUAUGCAUUUAUCCAUGAAUAACAAGAUUAAAUCCUUAAUAAAUAAUUUCCCAGAAAACAUGGUUCAUUUUAUAUAUUUAUUAAAAACUAGCCAUCUCAAGGAAUACCACAAAAUUUGUUUCACAAUUUUUGAAUCUAAGAAGCAGGAGAUAUGAUUUUUACAAAAACAGCUCAAACCCUAAUUUAAACAAAGGAGAAGGAGAGACUGACAGAGGGGAUCCGCGAGUCAACGGACCCCACCUGCCAGCGAACCGGAAGCAGAGGCGUGGCUUGACCGCCGGAGAUCUCGUCGACGGCGAGGUCUCGGCGCUGGCCAAGGGCACCAUCGUGCUCUCCACAGCAUUCCGCAUCGAGCGGUACCCAAAACCCUAACUCUUCCGGACUCUAGGCACCUCGCCCUCGCGAAUGGCGGCACGGCGGUGGUGCGCGGCCGACCGCCGGCGUCUCUGAUCGGAGACAGAGCGGAAGAGGAUGUGGACGAGCAUCAGCAUGACCUAGCGGAGCUUUUGGAACAAGAAUGAGAAAGAAUGGUGGGCUACAGAGCCCUGGCCACGACGCCGGUGGCCAUGGUGGAACUCCGGCGAGGCAAGCUCGCGGCGGAGAAGGCAAUGCGGGCUCACCGAGGCUCGGCAGUCGCAGCCAACUUGACGACGGUGGAGAGGAGAGGCUUGCGGAGCACUGGACGGAGUUGCUUGACCGGAGACAAGGAGACACGCGCGCGCGAGCUCGCCGAAGCAACGGCGGCGACGCGGAGACGACGACGCACGCGAGAGAGAGCGAACCGGGAGUGGACUGGCGCUGUCCACGCGACCGGGGGCGCCGUGGCGAGCUGAAGGACGCGUCGAGGACUGACGUGCAGGACCAACGGCGACGUACGGACGCCACGGGUCCAGACACGCGGCAACACCGGCGAGCUCCCCCUGUCUGACGGCGGCUCCAUUCAGUUCCCAAACCGACUGAAACUCAAUUUUUCCCGACGAUUAACUCCUAAACCACUCGAUGAUUUUGCUGGCCAAUUGCUCCAUGCUGGAGAGCUACAUGAGUACUCCAACAUUGCUAACUAGAUCAAAGCUUGAUUCGGCCUAGAAUUCAAACUGGAAGAUGAACAAUAUCCCCUCGAGCAAACUGCAGAGAUUCCAGACUUAGAAAAUUUUCUAAGUGUUGGAAACAGCCCCAAAUCUGCCUUGUGGGCCCCUUUUGAGCUAUUUGUGAUCAUUUUCAUGAGAUGGCCAUAAAACAACUUUUGUUCCUUAUAAAAUUUGCUACAACUUUGCUGUAGAAAGUUUUGACAUGCAAACAUUUUAUGAAACACUUUUUAAAAGCCUAAGCAAAAGAGGUUUCUAGGGCCUACUUUCAUAAGUAUAACUUAAAAGCAUAUUUUGGAGAAGUGACCAACAUGAACAUUGUUCCCAAGGUCAAGUUAAGCAUAGCUAAACUAACUACCAAGGCAUUAAGCACAAACACAAGCAUGGUUCACUCAAACAUAAGCAUAGGAAGACUAUUUAAACAAUUUAAACCACAUUUUUGCAUAAGAUGACAUGGCUCAAGAUAGAUGAUGAUCAUGAUAAGCUUUGAGUAGAUGAUGAUGCUUAUGCUAUGCACAUGAUUAAUGCAACCAUAACACUGGGGUGUUACAGCCCUCCCCCCUUACAAAAAUCUCGUCCCGAGAUUUGAAAGCUUACUGAUUUUCGAAGAAGGUUUUGUAAACUUCUUUCAAAUAAUCCUCCGUCUCCCAAGUAGCAUCUUCCUCCCCAUGGUUGCUCCACAAUACCUUAUAGAGUUUAACCACACGAUUACGCGUCUCCCGUUCCUUGCGAUCAAGAAUCGCCACAGGUUUCUCCUCAUACACCAAGUCUGACUUCAACUUGAUAUCUCGAACUUCCACUCGUUCUUCCGGUACACGAAGGCACUUCUUCAAUUGUGAUACGUGGAAGACAGGGAAAAUAGCUCGAAGCGCAACUGGGAGUUGAACUUUGUACGCCACAUUCCCUUUCUUUUCGAGAAUCCGAUAAGGUCCCACAUAGCGAGGUGCAAGUUUUCGCUUGACUCCGAACCUUUGUACACCCUUCAUCGGAGACACCUUGAUGUACACAUGGUCACCAACUGAAAACUCAAUCGGCUUCCUUCUCUUGUCGGCAUAACUUUUCUGACGAGCUGGAGCAGCUUCCAGAUGUUGCUGGAUAGUACGGACUCUCUGCUCUGCUUUGUUCACGAAAUCGAUGCCAUAAAACCUUCGUUCCCCGGCUUCCACCCAAUUCAACGGGGUUCGACACUUUCGACCGUACAAGGCUUCAAAUGGAGCCAUCUUGAUACUCUCCUGAUAACUGUUUUUGUAGGAGAACUCAGCUAAUGGCAACCACUUAACCCAAGAUCCUUUUGAUCAGAGAGCACAUGCCCUCAACAUGUCUUCGAGGAUUUGGUUCACUCGUUCAGUCUGACCGGCCGUUUGGGGAUGAUAAGCAGAGCUACGGACUAAAUGAGUACCAAUUUGCUCAUGCAGACAUUCCCAAAAUCGAGUAGUGAACUGUGGUCCACGAUCGGAUAUGAUUGUUCGAGGCACACCAUACUGACGAACAAUGUGCUCGAAAUACAACUCCGCAUACUGAUGUGGACGAUAGUCGGUUCGGAAUGGAAUAAAUCGAGCAACCUUGGUCAAACGAUCGACAAUCACCCAGAUGGAGUCGUACCCCUUAACAGAAAUUGGGAGUCCACUGAUGAAAUCCAUGCUGACUUCUUCCCAUUUCCAACCAGGAAUAGACAAGGGUUGAAGCAAACCAGCUUUCAUGUGAACAGCCUUCACACGACAACAAUUGUCACAACGAGCGACAAAAGCAACUAUCUCCUUUUUCAUCUUUGUCCACCAAAACAACGGUUUUAAAUCCUGAUACAUCUUGCUACUACCAGGAUGGAUAGACAAUUUGGAUGAAUGAGCUUCAGAUAAGAUCUGAUUUUGCAGCUCGCGGUCUUUUGGGACCACAAGUCGAUCCUUGAACCAAAGAAUUCCGUUCUCAUCGACCCGGAAAUGCUUGGUUUCUUCUUCCUUCAUUUUCCUCUUUAUAUGGUGGAUGCCUACAUCUGUCUGCUGCAAUUCGAUGACUCGAUUGCGAAUGGUACUUUCCAGAGAAAGCUGGUUGAGCACAAGUGGAUGCAUAAGAUGUGACAACAACGGAUCUUCCACUUGGAUUGAGUGACAGUGCGCUUUCCGACUCAAGGCGUCCGCCACCACGUUUGCCUUGCCCGGAUGGUAGUGCACUUGAAGAUUAUAAUCUUUAAUCAACUCAAGCCACCUUCGCUGUCGCAUGUUCAGUUCAGGUUGAGUGAAGAUAUACUUGAGGCUCUUAUGAUCAGUGUAGAUAUUACACAGAUUACCCAGCAAAUAAUGCCUCUAGAUUUUCAAAGCAUGAACAACUGCUGCCAAUUCUAAGUCAUGGGUAGGGUAAUUGAUCUCAUGCUUUCGAAGUUGGCGUGAGGCAUACGCAAUUACGCGACCUUCCUGCAUCAACACACAGCCUAAACCAAUGCCCGACGCGUCACAAAAGACAUCAAAGGGCUUUUCGAUAUCAGGUUGAGCUAGGACAGGAGCUGAUGUCAGCAAUGUCCUCAACUUGUGGAAUGCCUCUUCACACUCAGGUGUCCACACAAACUUCUCAUCUUUCUGAAGCAGACGAGUCGUAGGCUUGGAUAUUUUGGAGAAUUCCGGAAUGAAUCGACGGUAAUAUCCGGCCAGACCAAGAAAACUCCGAACCUCGUGUACCCAAGUUGGAACUUUCCAAUCCAGCACUUCUUGCACCUUGGCUGGAUCCACCGAUAUGCCUUCUUCAGAUAAGACAUGGCCCAAGAAAGGAACUUUCUUUAGCCAAAACUCGCAUUUGCUAAACUUGGCAUAAAGCUGAUGUUCGCGCAAAGGCGACAACACUACACGCAGAUGCUCUGCAUGCUCCUCUUCAUUGCAGGAAUAUACCAAGAUAUCAUCAAUGAAGACCACCACAAACUUGUCCAAUUCAGGCAUGAACACCGAAUUCAUGAGAUACAUGAAGUGAGCAGGUGCAUUUGUAAGACCGAAGGACAUGACAAGGUACUCAUACAACCCAUACCUUGUCGAGAAAGCUGUCUUAGGUACAUCUUCAGGACGGAUCUUGAUCUGAUGGUACCCAGAUCGCAAAUCAAUCUUGGAGAAUACCUUAGCUUUAGACAACUGAUCAAACAAGAUAUCAAUGCGAGGAAGAGGGUAUUUGUUCUUGAUAGUCACCGCAUUUAGGGGACGAUAGUCCACACACAUGCGCAAAGAUUGAUCCUUCUUCUUCACAAAGAUAGCCGAACAACCCCAAGGAGAAGAACUAGGACGAAUAAGGCCCUUCUUCAACAACUCAUUGAGUUGGGUCUUAAGCUCAACUAAUUCAUUGGGUGGCAUUCUAUAAGGUCUUCUAGAGAUAGGAGCGGUACCUAGAAUCAAUUCAAUCUUAAACUCCACAUCCCGAUCCGGAGGAAGCCCGGGAAGAUCAUCAGGAAAAACAUCCGGAAACUCACACACCACCGGAAUAUCCUGAAUAGCCUUAGAUGUAACUGCAUUCACAGUGCUACGGAUUUGAAUAUCACGAGGGAGUUGCACUAGAAAUGCCUCCUUGGUAUUUGGGUCUUUCAACAUCACUACACGAGUGGUGGUGUCGAUAAGAACUCCAUUGCCACUCAUCCACUUCAUCCCCAGAAUUACAUCUAUUCCCACACCAGGUAGAACAACCAAAUCAGCAAGAAACUGACGGCCUCCUAUUUCCAGAGUUGCCCCCAAAACCACUUGAUUGGUAGAAAUAUCAUUCCCCGCAGCACAAAUACAGUAACUGCCCUUAUCAAGUGUAAUGGCCUUGAUGCUAUGCUUAGACACAAAUUCAGAACUCACAAAGGAAUGCGAUGCUCUAGAAUCAAAAAGCACAAGUGCAUCAUGUUGAUUGACCAGAAACUUACCAGCCGUGACUACCUCACCAGCAGGGAUUGCUUCCACAGUUGUGUAAUGAACACGCCCCUGACGGACGUUCCCCUGGUUGCCCUUCUUUGGCGGGUAAGGACAGUUGCUCUGCCAAUGCCCGGUCUGAUUGCAGUUCCAGCACGGACGGUUGGCAGGUGGAGUCUUGGCAUAGUUGGGACCCGUGUUGCCCCUAGGAAGAGCAAUAGAGUACCCCUUGCGAAAACCCGUCUUUGCCUGAUUCUUCUUCACCGGAGGGCGGUAUCGCUGGUUGGGGGUUGUAGCACGGAAUGGGGGCUUAGUUGCCACUGGAGCCUUGGACUGAGAUGACCCGGCACUGGCCUCAAAGGCCCUCUUGCGAGUCUUGGUCGCAGUGUACACAGUGUUAUAGUUCUCUUGAGUGAGAGCAUCACUGACAAACUCAUUGAAAGUUGCACACUUAGUGCGGCCCAUAGUCUUCAGCAAUUUGAGGCCCAAACCCCGCUUGAAACUAGCAAUCUUUUUCGUCUCCAUGUUCACAAACUCAGGAGCAUACCUAGACAAAUGAUUGAAAGCAUGCAAAUACUCCUUCAGAGUCUUGUUGCCCUGAGUCAACUGCAUAAACUCGGUAUGCUUCAUCUCCAUAACACCAGGAGGAAUGAAAUGCCCCUUGAAAGCUUCACGGAAAAGAUUCCAGUCAAUCACUGUGUUGGCUGGAAGAGCUUCCCGAUACUGAUUCCACCAGAUGCCUGCCGGACCUUGCAGUUGGUGAGCGGCAUACUCUGCCUUCAGACCUUCAGUCAACCGAAGUAAGCGGAACUUUUGUUCCACCGUGUUCAGCCACUCUUCAGCUUGAAGGGGUUCUUCAGCUUCUCUGAAAGGUGGGGGCUUUGUGUCCAUGAAAUCCUUGAAGCUACUGUACUGGUUAGGAGCUGGCCCUUCCUGUGCAUUACGACCACCCUGAUUUGCCAUCCGAUUGAUGGUCUCAGUGAGCAUCCUCUGAUUUUCCACCAUCAUUUGCAUCAGUUCAUCUGGAUUUGGUGGUGGAGGAGGAGGGGGUGGAUUCAUGUUUGCACGCUGUUCCGCACCCCGGGUACCACGAGACAUCUGUAAAGACACAGUCAGUGAGCAUUGAUGAUGACAAGAUUUGCCGCAGAAGAACUUAUAUUCAUACCUGAAAGUAUUCGAGAGAAUAGCUUUACAGAAAGGAAAAAUAAUUCAAUUCCACAAAACAACAUCACCAAUCUAACACACGACAUAGAUAUCCACAAUACGCACCACAACGGAAAACAUCGGCAUAACAUAACAAUCAUAUUAAGACUGCACAUUGGGUCCAUAAAGUUAUUACACCAUCACAGUACAUGCCAUGAGUCAAGGUCAAAGUUUCGGAUUACAACAUGGUUACAAAAGCACCACGGCUGACUGGCACACUACAAAAGAUCCUCACAUAACACUACCCACUACUCCUACACUCCAGGCUCGUCGUCCGAGUCAGCGUCGAAGAUCGCCUCUCCAUCCUCGUCGUGAACCGGGAGUGGACUGGCGCUGUCCAUGCGACCGGGGGCGCCGUGGCGAGCUGAAGGACGCGUCGAGGACUGACGUGCGGGACCAACGGCGACGUACGGACGCCACGGGUCCAGACACGUGGCAACACCGGCGAGCUCCCCCUGUCUGACGGCGGCUCCAUUCAGUUCCCAAACCGACUUAAGGUUUUAUCUGACAGAAUUCCAUGAGUUUUGGUGUUUGUCUAUUUCUGCAGGGGGUUAUCAGGAAAUAUGGAAGAAAGGCCCACACGUCGGGUUUACAUAGAGAUAUUAACGUGCCGCGCAAUUUUCUAUCAUCUAGAAGACUCCAGAAGCCACGGGACCGAAGCGGAGGCCGAGAGGGCUCAGGCACAGGGCGCCCGCCCUAGUCUCUUGGGCGCCCGCCCACUUCCAGAGACCAAUUCGGUCACGUUUCGCGGACAACGCUCCACCGACCUAAAGGAUCAAGGAAAACCGUGCGAUCAAUGUCGGUUUGAUCCGACGGCCCAGAUUCACUUGAAGGGACUAUAAAACCAGACCCCCUGGCCCCUGGAGAUCAUACCUCUUCUACAGAAUCAAAGUUAGGGUUUCAAUUCUUCAUCCAAGUAGAGAGGAUCCCUCUAGUUCUUCUAGUUCUACCUCUAGUUCAUCUAGAUCUAGUUCUAGUUCAUCUAGUUCUAGUUCUAGUUCUUCUAGUUCUAGUUCUAGUUAGUUCUAGUUGUAAUCUAGAAAAUAGGGAGAGAGAAGAGGAGAGCGGAGGAGGAGCCAGAUCUGUCGGAUCUUCCUCAACAUUAUACUUUUGCAGCAUCUGGUUCGUUCUUCAUCGUUCUCCAGGUUCUUCAAUUCAUAACUCCUGAGUUCUCUAAUUACUUUUAUUUACAUUCAAGUUAUUUAUUGGAUUCCCGCUUGCAUCAAGUGCUCUAGUCUUUAUAACGCUAGAGUAGUAAUUAAUAGAUUAGACGUGGUGUUUAGUCUUGUGAUUACCUGGAAUUGCACCCAAUCCUACGGAUUGUUGUGGUAGCCCUAGGGUAGUGACAGCCCUAACGGUCGACGUAUUCCACCACGUUCGGAUCGGUGUUUGUAGGACCGUAGUCAGACCUUCCUAGCCCCCUUCUCAUCUCUUUCUGUGGUUAGUGCUCUGAUGUCCCGAUAUAGAUAAUCUUGAAGUAAUUCUUGAUUCUUAGAUCAACUAGAGAACUCUCAGGAAACUUCCUCUCUUCCCACCAAAAAUAAUUAUAUAGUUAUCCUUGGGCGAUCUUGGAUCUUAAUUAGUACACUCACGUUCUCUGUGGAAAAUCGAUACUCUGGAAUACUCCCGGGUGAAAGCAACAUCGGUAUCCGUGCGCUUGCGGAUUUUUCUGUUUGCGUUUAAAAUACCCAACAAGUUUUCUGGCGCCGUUGCCGGGGAACGGUAGCUGUGCUAGUUUCGAACCAAGUCGUCCGUGUAUCCUUUUUCUUUUCCCUUUUUACCACACUCACCUUAUCACUUUCACCAUACCACAUGGAUUUCACUCUAAGCAUUAAUGAGCAUGGAAUUUAUUUCAUAGCCACUUCACUUACUCCAUGCUCAUAUGCAACAUCUUCACAAUCCAUUGGUCUCUCCAACAUCACCACAUUCGGGAUCUCCAACCCCCUCUUCCUUUCUAUUUAUAAAAACUUUAAAAGGGUGGUUGUCGAUGCAUAUGUCUAUAAUAUAUAUUGCAGAUCUCGUUGAGUUGAUCUUGAUAUAGGUCAGCGUUGGAGGGGAAACCACUUCGCAGACAUAAAUUAAUGGUUUCCCAAGGACAAGCUUAGUGUCCUAAAACAAGCACUGAUUAGAUCAUAACAUGAGCUUUUAAUUAUUUGCCACAUUACCUUGUGAGUUGAGCAUAUAAGGAUAAUUGUAAAAAAAAUUCCUUCGGGUAUUCUUGUCACUAACCUUUCCAGGAUUGGAGCAAGAAGAUCGGAUGAAUGACAAGCACAAGGUAUGUACAACCAAUCAUCAUACAACAUUGAAUUAAAUUCAUCCAAACUUGAAUUUUGCAAAAUUCAAGCUUGGGGGAGUACUUUACAUAAAAACAUCCUUUGCCAUGUUGCUAUGUUGGUUGUCCCUACCUUUGAGACAUGCUCAAUUUGUUAAAUACUAAUCACACUACUUCACCUCCACUUGAGUAGAUCUCUAUAAAUGCUCUCAUGCUACCUUUAUUUGCUUUAGUAUAUGUCUAGGUUUGGAGUAGUUUCAUUUAUCUCUUAAUUAAGCAUGGUGCUUAGUUUAGGAAUGAUGAUCUUACUUCCAAGGGAGUUUAAAUUAGGCAUGAUCCUUAGGUUAAAAUUCCCUCCUAAAUCAAAUUAGACAUGGUGUCUAGGUUGAUCUUUGAGCCGAUAGUAUGCUAUAGUAGAUAUUGGAUAUUUUGUUGUACUAACCCCUGCAGGAAAACUUUCACUAUCGACCUGGGAAGUCCUGAGAUACACUCACAUUUUUGACAAAGAGAGAGGCACAUGAAGUUUAACAAUUUACACAAGGAAGGCAUAGCUCACAAGAGAUGAUCCAUGGAGGGUGCUACAAACACGAUGCACAACCGCUAAGAAAGGAAAGCUUCCACAAGGAGAUACCGUACCAUCACUCUUCAAGUAAGGUAACAUCUUAAGGUACUUGACUAUCACUUUUAUAAGUUUCUCCUUGGUUCUAGCAUUCACAUGGAUAAAAGAGACAAACAUGUAUGAUUUACAACUCUAGAUUAACCAACCCAAUCUAUUCAAUAUGUUUAGUCCUUCCACCUUUGUGAUCCCACAUUCCUAAUCAUAUAAGCUAAAAUGUUGCACACUCAAUCUUUGGAAGAUAUAUUUAAAAAAAAACAUAUAUAUAGAUAGAUUAUCUUUCCAUAAGGUUGAGCAAUCUAAUCUGACAAAUGUUAAAUGCUACACUCAUGGUCUUAUUAUCCAUCAACUUUGUCUUUCUCACUAUGCUUAAUGUUAGAGAGAACAAAUACACUUUUGGUUCUGUUGGUGUUUUCCACCAACAGGGCCCAUGCACUUGAUCUCUGCCUUGUCUCUAUGAGCAGGUACACUUGGAGCAAAAUAUGAAGGACUUUUACAACUCCCAGACUCCACCAAGUGAAGAACCUAGAUCUACGAGUACAAACACAAUGGAGAUACUGCACACUCAGGCAAUCACUGCCUUGAGAUGCUUGAGGACGUAACUAUGAGAGUAACCCCGUUGUGGAAGUAAUUACUGACCUUCUGCUGGUUAAGAGAGGCGAUCCAGGACGCACCGUCAUCCCGAUCUCCAUCGGCAUGGUGGACUUCCUAGAAGCACUCUACAACUUUGGCUCCAGCAUCAACAUUAUGCCCAAGGGAAUAUUGAAGAACCUCUACGUCCGAGUUGGUACCUUGGAGGCCAUUCCUAAACACUUUGGGAGCUGUCAUCUACGCUAGUGCUGCCAAGAUCAGUUUCUACAUCAAGGGGAAGAAGGAGACGUUUUCCUUCAAGAAACAAGACUACACAAAUCCCAGAGCAAUCCCGACAUGAACCAAGGAAGAGGACCAACAGGAGGAACAAGAACAAGUAAAUGUGUACCGAGUCAGCUAAGAUGGUCACUGCAGCUCAAGGAGGUCAAGAUCGUCAACUCAAGUCACCUUUCUUGAUCAAGAAGGACGACCCUGGUGUCACAAGCAUCGAGUGCACAAUCAACGGAUAUUCUUUUCAGAAGACACUCUACGAUACCGGAUCUAACGUCAACAUAAUGGCCGCAGUCACUUAUCAGCUCCUGCAUGGAACCAUGUCCCCACAACCAACAUACAUUCAGCUCCAGAUGCUUUUAAGGUUAUUGACAUGGGAGAAGACGAGUACAAUCCACCCAUCACCAUUGGGAGACUGUUCCUCAGCACCGAUAAAGUAAUCAUCUACAAUGGAACCGAAGAAGUCCACGUGCACUUCUCCUCUGACAAGGUACGCCGCUAUUUUACUGACCCUAACCAUAUAGUUGAAGACUCUAAGCAGGUCAGGACAAGAAGAGGACGACGCAACCGCAACCAGAGGAGGCAAAUCAUCAAGGACGGAUGGGCAGACUAUGAAGGAGAAGUUGUAAGGUCUGAAGACAUACAACUUGAACAGAACUAUCCUGAGGAGACCGUAGCACCGAGUCAGGUGUGGUGAGAGAAUAUAGUUAUACAUGAAGAGGAAGCGCUGCCGGAACCACCGACUACGCCAUCCAGCAAAUCCCAGGACGACUGAGAAAACGGAGAGUCCCGUUCGGAGGACUUAAAAACACCGAACGCCUUGCCAAGAGGUAAACUUGGUAGUUAUCCUUUUCCUUUCAAUUAUUUAAAAUAGUUUGCUUAGUUAAUCAGGUUUAUAUCAUCUUGAAAAGAAAAUAAAAAUGUUAAGUAAGCCCCAUGUGAGUAUGCUCAUGGCAUAAAACCCAUAAGUAUAUUCACUGUGGUGGCAUAAAAAUAAAAUAAAUAUAUAUUUCUGUCCUAUAAAAAUGAAAAUAUAAAUAAGAUUGUGAUCCUACUAAAGAGAAUAACAUUUAUUGAGGAGGCUCAACAUGAUAAAGGCUAGAUAUUUAUGCUAACACUUAACUAGUUCCACAAAGCUUUGUUGUCUAUUUGAGCUCCACAGAAUUCAAGGAUCAAAGAAGACUAGGAGACGGAGGACAUCCUAAUCGCUGUCAGGGUGCUGCCGACAUUCAAAUACACCUCCACCACUUGCUAGCUACAUCAGAAGAAAUUACGUCAAAAAUCCAGGUUGGGGGAGAGCACCCCCAUUUAUCCAGCUAAGUGUUUCUACUCACGUUUAUACUUUACUCCAAUAGUAAAGAUGCAUAAUCAUAAAAACCUAAAUAAAGAUUUUGUGCUUAUAUAUAUAUAUCUUUGCUUAGUUUGCUAAAUAAAUAAAUAAAUAAAGUUUGCUAUGAACCCUCAUGAUAAGCUCUCACAUGGAAAUGAUGAAUAGUUGCUCUACCAUGACUAAAUCUAAAUCUCUCUCAAGUUUAGGGAUGACUGUUAUUAAUUAAGAUUUGCUCUAAACCUAAACUUGUGGGGAGAGUACUUGAUCUAUAGUCUAAGUCGUUAACGGAUAUGAUAUGGGAAGGUUGAGCUGCCCUUUAUCUGUUCCUAGAGAUGCUAGAAUUCUCGAGAAUUUUAUCUUUGAAAAUCUUUAAAAUAUUGCAUGAUGAGUUCCUGUAUGAUGAGAGUUUAAAUUCCUACCACAGCCAUAUAUACAUGCUUGCUAGACUUUGAGCCACACAUUUACUUUUUACUGCUUAUGAGUAUUGAGUGUGGUCAAGCUGUGUAGACCCUUAGGAGCUUGUCAUGUGGUUAAAUCAAGAUUCACUUGCACGUUCACUCAUACAUGCUGCUUCUACUCUAGAAGUACGCAUCACAUAUAUCCAUCCAUUUCCAUCUCCAGAACCACCCAAAAAUAUUCUACUCCUAAUCCGGGAGAGAAUAGCCAAAAAUAUUUCUGUUUUUCCCCUGUGAAAUAAAUGCUCAAGUUAUCUUGGUUACUACCACUUGCUAUAUUAUUUCAGGAGAUGAGUGCUCUAAUAUAAAAAAAAGAGAGAAAAAAAUAUAUAAAUACGAGGAAAUAAAAAGGGGCAAGUGCCCGGAACCUCGAAAGAAAAGAAAAAAAAAGUGAGACGAGAGGUAAAAAUGGACAAGUGUCCGACAGUAGAAUUAGGGGUACAAGAUACCCACCUGAGAGAAAAGAAAAAGAAAAUAUAGAGCAUCUCAUUCUCCUCAAAAAGUUUCAAAAGAGCAAGAAAGGUAUGUAUCCCCUCAAAAGAGCAUAAGUAGAAUUAGGCUUUCACCAUUGUUGUCACCAUCAUCACCAUACACCAUUCAUUCGCCACACAUGCACAUCUUGAUUUGACUUAUUGACUUGUUCUUCUGGAUCCAUGGUUUGACUAUGCAAUAAAUGUCUUGUAAGUAUGUAUUAGCUGUCUCCCACCUAUGAGCUCCAGAUAUCAAAACUUUAUUAGAGUAGGGUGAGAGAGAAGGCAAUGCCACUAUGCCUUAUACCACAAAUACCACAUACUUUGAGAGAAGUCAUAUACCAUUACUGCCUUGGCAAGGAUCCAGAAAUACCACAAAAGAGAGACUAGAGAGAGUCUUACAAGGAAUCUCUGAGUUUUAUUUAAAAAUCUGCAAAAACUCCAGAGCUAUAGUUAAUCGAAGAACAAGAGACAUGGUGCUUGACUAGACCGUUCUAUCUUUUAACUGCUCAAGAAACAAGUGACGGUUACAAGUCCCAUGGUGAAAGGUAAAUGUGUAAGUUUUAAGUCUUAACAGUUUACCCUAACCCAGAGAUGAGUUCUUGUUUAAACGCAUGUGUAUCUUUAAGUUAUGAAACCACUGCAGAAACUCUUGAGUCCAUCUUUGCUCAGGGACGAGCAAAGGUUAAGCUUGGGGGAGCUUGUUGACGGUCCUUAAUGCUCACAUUUAACCAUCAACUAAUCAUAGAAAAGGAUCCAAAUGCAACCAACACCUAGACUUAGGGUUUUAUCUGACAGAAUUCCACGAGUUUUAGUGUUUGUCUAUUUCUGCAGGGGGUUAUCAGGAAAUAUGGAAGAAAGGCCCACACGUCGGGUUUACAUAGAGAUAUUAACGUGCCGCGCAAUUUUCUAUCAUCUAGAAGACUCCAGAAGCCACGGGACCGAAGCGGAGGCCGAGAGGGCUCAGGCACAGGGCGCCCGCCCUAGUCUCUUGGGCGCCCGCCCACUUCCAGAGACCAAUUCGGUCACGUUUCGCGGACAACGCUCCACCGACCUAAAGGAUCAAGGAAAACCGUGCGAUCAAUGUCGGUUUGAUCCGACGGCCCAGAUUCACUUGAAGGGACUAUAAAACCAGACCCCCUGGCCCCUGGAGAUCAUACCUCUUCUACAGAAUCAAAGUUAGGGUUUCAAUUCUUCAUCCAAGUAGAGAGGAUCCCUCUAGUUCUUCUAGUUCUACCUCUAGUUCAUCUAGAUCUAGUUCUAGUUCAUCUAGUUCUAGUUCUAGUUCUUCUAGUUCUAGUUCUAGUUAGUUCUAGUUGUAAUCUAGAAAAUAGGGAGAGAGAAGAGGAGAGCGGAGGAGGAGCCAGAUCUGUCGGAUCUUCCUCAACAUUAUACUUUUGCAGCAUCUGGUUCGUUCUUCAUCGUUCUCCAGGUUCUUCAAUUCAUAACUCCUGAGUUCUCUAAUUACUUUUAUUUACAUUCAAGUUAUUUAUUGGAUUCCCGCUUGCAUCAAGUGCUCUAGUCUUUAUAACGCUAGAGUAGUAAUUAAUAGAUUAGACGUGGUGUUUAGUCUUGUGAUUACCUGGAAUUGCACCCAAUCCUACGGAUUGUUGUGGUAGCCCUAGGGUAGUGACAGCCCUAACGGUCGACGUAUUCCACCACGUUCGGAUCGGUGUUUGUAGGACCGUAGUCAGACCUUCCUAGCCCCCUUCUCAUCUCUUUCUGUGGUUAGUGCUCUGAUGUCCCGAUAUAGAUAAUCUUGAAGUAAUUCUUGAUUCUUAGAUCAACUAGAGAACUCUCAGGAAACUUCCUCUCUUCCCACCAAAAAUAAUUAUAUAGUUAUCCUUGGGCGAUCUUGGAUCUUAAUUAGUACACUCACGUUCUCUGUGGAAAAUCGAUACUCUGGAAUACUCCCGGGUGAAAGCUACAUCGGUAUCCGUGCGCUUGCGGAUUUUUCUGUUUGCGUAUAAAAUACCCAACAAUCAUGAUAAGCUUUGAGUAGAUGAUGAUGCUUAUGCUAUGCACAUGAUUAAUGCAACCAUAACAAUGGGGUGUUACACUAGUCUUCUUUGAUCCUUGAAUUCUGUAGAGCUCAAAUAGACAACAAAGCUUUGUGGAACUGGUUAAGUGUUAGCAUAAAUAUCUAGCCUUUAUCAUGUUGAGCCUCCUCAAUAAAUAUUACUCUAUUUAGUAGGAUCAUUAAUCUAUUUUUAUAUUUUUAUUUUUAUAGGACAGGAAUAUAUUUAUUUCAUUUUUUACGCCACCACAGUGAAUGUACUUAUGGGUUUUAUGCCAUGAGCAUACUCACAUGGGCUUACUAUUUUUAACAUUUUUAUUUUCUUUUUGAGAUGAUAUGAACCUAAUUAACUAAGCAAACUAUUUUAAAUAAUUGAAAGAAAAGGAUAACUACCAAGUUUACCUCUUGGCAAGGCGUUCGGUGUUUUUAAGUCCUCCGAACGGGACUCUCCUGUAUUCUGAGUCAUCCUAGGAUUCGCUCGAUGGCGUAGUCGGUGGUUCCGGCGGCGCCUGCUCUUCAUGUAUAACUAUCUUCUCUCUCCACACCUGACUCAGUGCUACGAUCUCCUCAGGACAGUUCUGUUCAAGUUGUAUGUCUUCAGACCUUACAACUUCUCCUUCAUAGUCUGCCCAUCCGUCCUUGAUAAUUUGCCUCCUCUGGUUGCGGUUGCGUCGUCUUCUUCUUGUCCUGACCUGCUUAGAGUCUUCAACUAUAUGGUUAGGGUCAGCAAAAUAGCAGCGUACCUUCUCAGAGGGGAAAUGCAUGUGGACUCCGCAGGUUCCAAAGUAGAUGAUUGCUUUAACGGUGCUAAGGAACGGUCUUCCAAGGAUGAUGGGUGGAUUGUACUCGUCUUCUCCCAUGUCAAUAACCUUAAAAUCAUCUGGAGCAGAUAAGUGACUGCGGCCAUUAUGUUGACGUCAGAUCCGGUGUCGUAGAGUGUCUUCUGCAAGUUGUAUCCAUUAAUGGAGCACUGGAUGCUUGGUAUAUCUGGGUCAUCCUUUUUGGUCAAGAACAGUGACUUAGAUCGACGAUCUUGACCUCCUUGAACUGUAGUGACCAUCUUAGCUGACUUGGUCCACAUUUGCUUGUUCCUGUUCCUCUUGUUGGUCCUCUUCCUUGGUUCAUGUCGGGAUUGCUCUAGAAUUUGUGUAAUCUUGUUCUUGAAGGAAAACGUCUCAUUUCUCCCUUUGAUGUAGAAACUGAUCUUGGCAGCGCUAGCGUGGAUGACAGCUCCCGAGGUGUUCAGGGAUGGCCUCCCUAGGAUGAUGGGUGCCCUCUCAUUAGUACCAGUCUCUAUCACCACGAAGUCUGCUGGGGCGUACAAGGUACCAACUCGGACGCAGAGGUUCCUGGGCAUAAUGUUGAUGCUGGAGCCAAAGUCGCAGAGUGCUUCUAGGAAGUCCACCAUGCCGAUGGAGAUCGGGAUGACGGGGCGUCCUGGAUCACCUCUCUUGACUGGCAGAAGGUCAGUAAUUACUUCCAAAACGGGGUUACUCCAGUAGUUAUGUCCUCAAGCAUCUCAGGGCAGUGAUUGCCUGAGUGUCCAGUAUCUCCAGUAUGUUUGUGCUCGUAGAUCUAGGUUCUUCACUUGGUGAGUCUGGGAGUUGUAAAAGUCCUUCAUAUUUUGCUCGAAGUGUACCUGCUCAUAAAGACAAGGCAGAGAUCAAGUGCAUGGGCCCUGUUGGUGGAAAGCACCAACAGAACCAAAAGUGUAUUUGUUCUCUCUAACCUUAAGCAUAGCAAGACAAAGUUGAUGGAUAAUAAGAUCAUGAGUGUAGCAUUUAAAACAUUUGUUAGAUCAGAUUGCUCAACCUAAUGGAAAGAUAAUCUAUCUAUACUUAUGUGUUUUCUCUUUUUUAUAUAUAUGUCUUCCAAAGACUGAGUGUGCAACACUUUAGCUCAUAUGAUUAGGAGUGUGGGAUCACAAAGGUGGAAGGACUAAACAUGUUGAAUCAGUUGGGUUGGUUAAUCUAGAUUUGUAAAUCAUACAUGUUUGUCUCUUUUAUUCAUGUGAACGCCAGAACCAAGGAGAAGCUUAUAGAAGUGAUAGUCAAGUACCUUAAGAUGUUACCUUACUUGAAGAGUGAUGGUACAGUAUCACCUUGUGGAAGUUUUCCUUUCUUAGCGGUUAUGCAUCGUGUUUGUGGCACCCUCCAUGGAUCAUCUCUUGUGAGCUUUGCCUUCCAUGUGUAAAUUGUUAAACUUCAUGUGUCUCUCCCUUUCUCUCCAAUGUGAGUUUAUCUCAGGACUUCCCAGGUCGAUAUUGAAAGUACUCCUGCAGUGGUUAGUCCAACAGAAUAUCCAAUAUCUACUAUAGCAAACUAUCGGCUCAAAAAUCAACCUAGACACCAUAUCCAAUUUGAUUUAGUAGGGCAUUUUAACCUAAGCAUCAUGCUUAAUUUAAAAUCCUUUGGAAGUAAGAUCAGCAUUCCUAAACUAAGCACCAUGCUUAAUUAAGAGAUAAAUGAAACUACUCCAAACCUGGACAUAUACUAAAGCAAAUAAAGGUAGCAUGAGAGCCUUUAUAAAGAUCUACUCAAGUGGAGAUGAAGUAGUGUGAUUAGUAUUUAACAAAAUGAGCAUGUCUCAAAGGUAGGGACAACCAACAUAGAAACAUGGCAAAGGAUGUUUUUAUGUAAAGUACUCCCCCAAGCUUGAAUUUUGAAAAAUUCAAGUUUGGAUGAAUUGAAUUCAAUGUUGUAUGAUGAUUGGUUGGACAUACCUUGUGCUUGUCAUUCAUCCGAUCUUCUUGCUCCAAUCCUGGAAAGGUUAGUGACAAGAAUACCCGAAGGAAUAUUUUCACAAUUAUCCUCAUAUGCUCAAUACACAAGGUAAUGUUGCAAAUAAUUAAAAGCUCAUGUUACAAUCUGAUCAGUGCUUGUUUUAGGACACUAAGCUUGUCCUUGGGAAACCAUCAAUUUAUGACGGCGAAGUGGUUUCCCCUCCAACGCUGACCUAUAUCAAGAUCAACUCAACGAGAUCUGCAAUAUUUAAUAUAGACAUAUGCAUCGACAACCACCCUUUUAAAGUUUUUAUAAAUAGAAAGGAUGAGGGGGUUGGAGAUCUCGAAUGUGGUAAUGUUGGAAAAACCAAUGGAUUGGGAAAAUGUUGCAUAUGAGCAUGGAGUAAAUGAAGUGGCUAUGAAAUAAAUUCCAUGCUCAUUAAUGCUUAGAGUGAAAUCCAUGUGGUAUGGUGAAAAUGAUAAGGUGGGUGUGGUAAAAAAGGAAAAGAAAAAGGAUACACGGACGACUUGGUUCGAAACUAGCACAGCUACCGUUCCCCGGCAACGGCGCCAGAAAACUUGUUGGGUAUUUUAAACGCAAACAGAAAAAAUCCGCAAGCGUACGGAUACCGAUGUAGCCUUCACCCGGGAGUAUUCCAGAGUAUCGAUUUUCCACAGAGAACGUGAGUGUACUAAUUAAGAAUCAAGAUCGCCCAAGGAUAACUAUAUAAUUAUUUUUGGUGGGAAGAGAGGAAGUUUCCUGAGAGUUCUCUAGUUGAUCUAAGAAUCAAGAAUUACUUCAAGAUUAUCUAUUUUGGGACAUCUGAACACUAACCACUGAAAGAGAUGAGAAGGGGGCUAGGAAGCUCUGACUACGGUCCUACAAACACCGAUCCGAACGAGGUGGAAUACGUCGACCGUUAGGGCUGUCACUACCCUAGGGCUACCACAAUAAUCCGCAGGAUUGGGUGCAAUUCCAGGUAAUUGCAAGACUAAACACCACGUCUAAUCUAUUAAUUACUACUCUAAUGUUUCAAAGAUUAGAGCACUUGAUGCAAGCGGGAAUCCAAUAAAUAACUUGAAUGUAAAUAAAAGUAAUUAAAGAACUUAGGAAUUAUGAAUUGAAGAACGUGGAGAACGAUGAAGAACGAACCAGUUGGUGCAAAAGUACAAUGUUGAGGAAGAUCCGACAGAUCCGGCUCCUCCUCUGCUCUCCUAUUCUCUCUCCCUAUUUUCUAGAUUACAACUAGAACUAACUAGAACUAGAACUAGAGGAACUAGAACUAGAACUAGAUGAACUAGAACUAGAACUAGAUAAACUAGAGGUAGAACUAGAAGAACUAGAGGGAUCCUCUCUACUUGGAUGAAGAAUUGAAACCCUAGCUUUGAUUCUGUAGGAGAGGUAUGAUCUCCAGGGGCCAGGGGACCUUGCUUAUAUAGUCUUUUCAGAUGAAUCUGGUCCGUCGGAUCAAACCGACAUUGAUCGUGUGGUUUUCCUUGAAGUAUUAGGUCGGUGGAGCAUGAUCCCCGAGCUUCACCCUGAUUGGUCCAGGGGGGAGGGCGGGCGCCUAGUAAGGGAGGGCGGGCGCCCAGUGCCUGGCCCCGUCACGUCUCACGUUCGCUCCCGUGGCUUCUGGACUCUUCUAGAUGGUAGAUAAUUGCGCGUCAAGUUAAUAUCCCUAUGUAAACCCGACAUGUGGGCCUUUCUUCCGUAUUUCCUGAUAACCCCCUGCAGAAAUAGACAAACACCAAAACUCGUGGAAUUCUGUCAGAUAAAACCCUAAGUCUAGGUGUUAGUUGCAUUUGGAUCCUUUUCCAUGAUUAAUUGAUGGUUAAAUGUGAGCAUUAAGGACCGUCAACACCUUGGAAGAUAUAAAUGUUAAAAUGGAUAGUUUCUCAUCUGCCAUUAAUGACCAACUUGAGUAUAAUAAAAAGAUAGAAAUAAAGAUAGCAUAGUUGGCUGCUGCAUUGCCUGUUGCCACUAACCCUGAGCAGGUAAAGAAUAUCACUACAAGGAGAGGGAGUUCUACCAAAGAUCCUCCCUACCCAAAAGGUACCAAAAGGCAAGUGGUAAUACCAUCAACAUUACCCACAAUUUUGGAGAAUGAUAACGACAUUCCUAGCUUUGAUGAAUGGCAGGCACGCCAGUGCCACGCACUGAACCCUGGGAUGUAUCCUCCGUUCCAUCCAACCUACCAUCCAUAUGGGUACUAUCCACCACCACCAUUCAUACCCAUAGGAGAAGGUCCCUCAGGUGAAGCUCCAAGGCAUUCAUUCAGUACCUGUGGAGAAAGGACAGAAGACGAAAACAAGGCUUUGAGCAAGGAUGAAGGUCUGAUGCUUCUGGGUUCUUCUAUACCCAUCAACAUUGCAAUGAACAAAUGGCGUUCCAAUCCUACGUCCACACCUCUCUUGCUCAUAAUUAGCAGAAUUGGAUGACCAACGUCAGUGGAACCAACACACCACUCAGACAUUGGCCUCUAUUCAGGAAGGGCAAGACCAAGCCAAUAGCACUCUAAGUGACAUCUUCGCGUUCCUAUAGAUCCCGAAAGAAGACUAGCUUGGGGGAGGACCCCCAUUAUCAAGGUAAGUUUUAUUUUCCCUACAUUUCAAUUUGUUUCCUUUCUCUUUUAUAAAUUUAGAAAAUCAAAUAAAUAUUUGUUAUUUAAUUCGUCUAAGUUUGAGUUUACUUAAAAAUGAAAAGCAAAUAAAAAGGGUGUGUAAUAUAAGUUUGCUUUUCUGCUAAGUUUGCUAUAAAUAAAAUAUGUAGAGAUGAAGAAGGCAUGAUGGAAAUGAUGAAUAGUUGCUCUGCCUUAAUUCUUUUCAAGUACCUAGUUUUAAAUUUGGAUUCUCCCAAGGAUUGGAUAUACUGUUAGACAACUGAAUUUACUCUAUUCUUUAAACCUGUGGGAUCAUAUGCUUAAACUAAGUCUAGGUAGUUGAUGGAUAUGAUAUGAUAUAGUCUGAGCUGCUGUUUAUAAUGUUCCUAGUGCUACUAAAUUCUAGAGAUUUAUUUUAUGGAAUUUAAAAUGAUUCAUGAUGAGUUCUAUGGAUGAUAGAGAGUAUAAAAUUCCUACCACAGCCAUAUUUAUUUAGAAUAGGAAGCCUCCACAUAUAUGUAGGGCUUUUUGUUUGCUGGAGCUGUGUGACCCUUAAGAACUCAUCAUGUGACUAAUCCCGGCAUCACAUACACUCAUGUUCACUUUUUGCUGCUUCCACUCUAGAAGUAUGACCACAUAUACUUACACUGAGAGAGAACACCAAAAAUAUUUCCCUUGCUUAUUUGCUAGCCAAUUAUCUUAAGUUCAAUGCUCCAAGUUUUAUCUCUUAUUCAACUACAAAAUAUUUGUUACAAAAAGAAUUGAUGGGCUGCAAGAAAAUUAAUGGGAAAAAGUUCCAUGAAAGAAAGAAAGAAAAUGAAAGAUCUAUGAGCCCAAGUUUGUUAUCAAAAUUUCAUGUUCAAAGUUAGAGGAAUUAUUCCAAGUAAAGGAGCAUCAGAAUUAUUUUUGCACCCCUUCUCCUUUCACAAAUAUUCUUUAGUUUAGCAUCCACAUAUAAAACCACACAUGCAGAAACUGGUUGGUUAUGUGGUGAGUUUAUUUGGAUCCAUGGUUCGAUCAGACCCAAUGCAUUAGCUAUCUCCACACCUAUGAGCUAAACAUAAGCUUUAUUAGAUAUAGGGUGUGAGAGAGAAGGCUACAAAUGCCUUGUGCCAUAAAUACUACAUAUCAUGAGAGCAAGAAAGAAGGCAUCACUCUUUUCAAUGCCUUAGAGAGGAUCCAAAAAUACCACAUAAUGAGAGACUUGAAAGGAUCAUACUAAAGAACUCUGAGUUUUAUUUUGAAAAUUAUAAAAACUCUAGGAUAGAGGUAGAACAACAGAGCAUGAGACAACAGUGCUUGACUUAAUUGUUCUAUCCUUCAACUGCUCAAGACCCAAGUAUAGGUAGAAGUCCCAUAGUUGGAAGAAACAUGAGUGAUUUUGGAAGUUAUGAUAGUUCACUCUAGUCUAAGGAUGAGUUCUUACAUAAAGCAUGUGUACUUGUGAGGUGUGAAAGCAUUGUAGCAACUCCUGAUUCAUCCUUUGUAGCUAUUUGCUUAGGGACAAGCAAAGGGCAAGCUUGGGGAGUUUGUUGACGGUUGUUAACCAUCAAAAUUAUAUGUCAACAAAGGAUAAGAAAGGGGACAAAAACUGAACAUCACCAUAGACUUAGGAUUUUUACUGACAAUUUCCACGAGUUUUGGUGAAUGUCUGUUUCUACAGGGGGUUAUCAGAAUAACAACUAAAGGAGGUCCAUAUGUCGGAUUUACAUAGGGAGAAGACCUGAACGUCAACUCUAGAUGACACUAGAAGACUCGGAAAGGUGUGCCCUGGAAGUUGGGGCCCACCUGCCAUAGGGCAGGGGUGGGCGCCUAGAGGGGGUAGGGGCGGCCACCCUAGGUCUACAACCAAUCAGGUGCAGUCUCGUAGAUCCUGCCUCCAGCGACUUUGAGGAUUAAUCUUAAGCGCACGUUUAUGUCGGUUUGAUCCAAGGGUUGUGGUGCUUCGUAGGGGGCUAUAAUACAAGCCUACCCCCCUUUUAAAAAGCUUAGAAUUGAGAAAGAAAAACACAAUUAUAUUUUUAUUCUCAUCUAAGAAUUAGAGAGAACCAUCAGAGCUAGUGAUUAGAGAUAGAUUUGCUACUCAUAAUCUUCAUCUUAUAUAUAGGAUUAGAUUAGAUAGAGGAAGAGUCUAGCGCCUGUGCUCAGAAUUUCUAGAUCUUUGUCAUUAGAGAUUGGUAUUAUCUUUUAUCUCUCUUUUGACUUUAUUCUAAAUAUUUUUAUGCUUCUAUUUAUUAUGUUCCUAGUUUAUUCUAGUUCUACAUUUGAUAUGGUUAUGAUUGAUAAUGAGUUUAUGUAUAUGUUUGCAAAGCGCUUAGCCCUCUUCGCAGGAGAAUUAUGUGAUACAUGUCAUGUAAGCAUGGUGCUUAGAUGUCGUUUAUCUGCAAUUACACCCUAUUGGUCGGGUUGUGUGGUAGAUCGCAGAAGUGACAGUUCUGUUAAGUCCUUUGUAUUCCAUCCCCGUUGGUAGGACAGGUAGAACUAAAGUUGCGUAGGAAGUCCAGCUUUGUCUUGACUUUUUAUAGAAAUGUUCCUUAUAUAUAAAUGAAGAGUCUUUUGUUCUAUAUAUUAUAAUGUAGCAUUAGAGUAGAUGAAUGACUUGAUAAAUUAUUACUACAUAGGAUUUUCUAUCUCUUGAACUAAUCGGACAUCUGUUUAAUAUUAAGCUGAGUAGUCUAUAUGUAGUCUCUAUAUUCCCUGGGCUUCUAUAUUUUAUAUAUCAUAUAUCUAUGGUUUACCAUCUGCUAUUAAUGACCAACUUGAGUAUAAUAAAAAUAUAGAAAUAAAGAUAGCAAAGUUGGUGUUGGGUAUUCUUAACGUCAUUACCAAAAGUAGACUUAGUUUUCUAAUUCUAAUAACGGCGUCAAAAAUGCUAAACCUAUCCCUCAUACCACUUAAGCCAAGUUGUCAUCCCCAGCAUGACAUGAGAGACGCGGUAUUGACAUAUGCAAUUGCUCAUCUAAAUAAAUAAUAAAUGGGAUCUGCAAGCGCACAGAUUAAUACCGAUGUAGCAUUUUAACCGGGAAGUAUUCCACGAAUCGUUAUUUAUAUUUUUACCACUGGGAAGGGAUUAGCAAUCAUCAAUAUUGAUUAUAGAAUGGAAUAUAAGAUUGAGUAUCUAUCAUUGCAUAUAUAAUUGAGAACAUCUAUCUAUCUCUUUCAUACAGGGAUAAGUGUCACAUAAAAGAUAUAUAAAGUAAUGAAUAGCGACAAAGGUAAUUAAUCUGAUAAGCAUAACUUAGCCACAUAAUGAAUAUGAUAAGCACCUCAAUUAGAUAUUCUAGCAAGUCAUUAGCAUGGAGUUAGAACGAACUACAAGAAUAUUUCCUAAGUUAUUCUCAACUAUACAGUCUAGCAUAUCAUAGUUAGUGCAAUUAUACUUAGCAAUCAUUGCGAGACAAGACUACGCCCAUGCAUAGUGAUAUUAGCAAGGAAUAUGAGAAACAUCGUAAUCACUCCCCUGUAAUAAUGUUGCUCUGCCAGCCCAAUACACGAGAGGGGGACUAUAUAAGAAUCCAUAGAGCUGUCACUAACACGAACUACCCAUCGAUCUAGCAUAUAGGGUACAAUCAUAGAUAAAUACGAUAUAAGCACCACGCCUACACAAUAUCUAUCAUUUACCCAUAGAUCCGAUGGAUAAACGCUAUACGAUCCUAAACAUGUAUAUAAAUCCAAUCUAACUAAGCCAAGUAUAUAACUAUGAUAGACUAAGAACAAUAUAAUUGCGAAUAUAAACAAGUAGAGCAAAGUCAUAAUCAAUAUAUUGAAGUAGAACAAAGUCAUAUUCAUAAUAUUGAAGAACAAAGAUGAACAAUUGGAGAACAAUAGAGAAUUACCAAGAAUCCUCUUGACAGAUCCGGAAACCAAUCGAAGAUUGACUCCUUCUAGUUCUAAUCCUAUGUAGCUAUGCUAAUCUAGAUGUCUAAUUGAUGUGGUGGCUCUAGGCUUGAUUAGAGGCUUCUUCUCCGUUGAUGAAAAAUGAAUUAGGGUUGAGAGCUCCCCUCCUCCAGGGGCCAGGGGUCUGGUUUUAUAAUCCUUCCAAGUGAAUAUGGGCCGUCGGAUCAAACCGACAUUGAUUGAACGGUUAUCCUUGAUCCUUUAGGUCGGUGGAGCUUAAUCCCGAAAGAGAGUCCUGAUUGAACUCUAAAGGGGGGCGAGUGCCCUGGUCUUUCUUCCGUAUUUCCUGAUAACCCCCUACAGAAAUAGACAAACACCAAAACUCGUGGAAUUCUGUCAGAUAAAACCCUAAGUCUGGAUGUUGAUUGUAUUUGGAUCCUUUUCUUUAUUUAUUUGAUAAUUAAAUUUGGUACUUAAGGACCAUCAACAAACUCCCCCAAGCUUACCCCUUGCUCGUCCCUGAGCUAGGAUAAUCUCAGCGAUGGAUCAGAAGUUGUUGUAAUGCCUUUAAAAGUUGACGGUACACAUGCUUUUAAAUAAGAUCCUAUCUCUGAGUUAGAGUAAACUGUCAAGACUUAAAACUUAUUCAUUUUACCUUUCACCAUGGGACUUGUAACUGUCACUUUUGUCUUGAGUAGUUAAAAGAUAGAACAGUCUAGUCAAGUGCCAUGUCUCUUAUUCUUGAUCAGCUAUAGCUCUGGAGUUUUUUGUAGAUUUUCAAAUAAAACUCAGAGGUUCCUUGUAUGACUCUCUCAGAUCUCUCUUUUGUAGUAUUUCCGGAUCCUUACCAAGGUAGUAAUGGUAUAUGCCUUCUCUCAAUGUAUGUGGUAUUUGUGGUAUGAAGCAUAGUGACAUUGACUUCUCUCUCAUCCUACUCUAAUAAGGCUUUUAUAUCUAGAGGUCAUAGGUGGGAGAUAAAGUAUACAUACUCACAAGACAUUUAUUGUAUAGUCAAACCAUGGAUCCAAAGAAACAAAUCAAUAAGUCAAAUCAAGAUGUGCAUGUGUGGCGAAUGAAUGGCGUAUGGUGAUGAUGGUGAUAACAACAGUGAAAGUCUAAUUCUAGUUUUUGCUCUUUUGAGGGGAUAUAUACCUUUCUUGCUUUUUGAAACUUUGUGAUGAGAAUGAGAUGCUCUUCUUUUUCUUUCCUCUCAGGUGGGUAUUUUGUAACCCUAAUUCUACUGUCGGACACUCGUCCAUUUUUACCUCUUGUCUUACUUUCUCUUUUCUUUCGAGGUUCCGGGCACUUGCCCCUUUUUAUUUCCUCGUAUUAUUUUUCUCUCUCUUUUUUUAGAGCACUCAUCUCAUGAGAUAAUAAUAUAGCAAGUGGUAGUAACCAAGAUAAGUUGGGCAUUUAUUUCAUAGGGGAAAAACAUAAAUGUUUUUGGCUUUUCUCUCCCAGAUUAGGAGUAGAAUAUUUUUGGGUGGUUCUGGAGAUGGAAAUGAGUGGAUAUAUGUGGAUGCGUACUUCCGGAGUAGAAGCAGCAUAUGUGAGUGAAUGUGCAAGUGAAUCUUAAUUUUAACCACAUGACAAGCUCCUAAAGUGACAACUUCAUUGAUUCUUAUAUAGUCCCCCUCUCGUGUAUUGGGCUGGCAGAGCAACAUUAUUACAGGGGAGUGAUUACGAUGUUUCUCAUAUUCCUUGCUGAUAUCACUAUGCAUGGGCGUAGUCUUGUCUCACAAUGAUUGCUAAGUAUAAUUGCAUUAACUAUGAUAUGCUAGACUAUAUAGUUGAGAAUAACUUAGGAAAUAUUUUUGUAGUUCGUUCUAAUUCCAUGCUAAUGACUUGCUAGAAUAUCUAAUUGAGGUGCUUAUCAUAUUUAUUAUGUGGCUAAGUUAUGCUGAUCAGAUUAAUUAUCUUUGUCACCAUUCAUUACUUUAUAUCCUUUAUGUGACACUUACCCCUGUAUGAAAGAGUUAGAUAAAUGUGCUCAAUUAUACAUGAAAUGAUAGAUACUCAAUAUCAUAUUCCAUUCUAUAACCAAUAUUGAUGGUUACUAAUCCCUUCCCAGUGGUAAAAAUAUAAAUAACGGUACAUGGAAUACUUCUCGGUUAAAAUGCUACAUCGGUAUUAAUCUGUACGCUUGCAGAUCCCAUUUAUUAUUUAUUUAGAUGAGCAAUUGCAUAUUUCAAUACCGCGUCUCUCAUAUCAUGCUGGGGAUGACAACUUGGCUUAAGUGGUAUGAGGGAUAGGUUUGGCAUUUUUGGCACCGUUAUCAGAAUUAGAAAACUAAGUUUACUUUUGGUAAUGAUGUUAAGAAUACCCAACAAGCAUUUUUGGCGCCGUUGCCGGGGAAGGUUGAUUACUAAUCAAGAAUGAAUAUAGGAUUUUGAGUUAUCAUUCGCAUCACUAAUAUGAUUGAGCUUAUCAAUUCUCUCAUACAGUUUUACCCUGAUAUUUUUCUAUUUUUAUCUUAUGCAGGGUAAUGUAUGAAUAGAAGACAUCUUCUAGGAAAUUUUGUUGACAAUCCUGAAGCAUUAUUGAGAAAAACAAGAGCCAAGCUCAAGAAAAGAUCAUCAACACUUUUGCAAGAAGCUUCAUCCAAUCAAGAAGAUCACCGGAACUUGACUUCAGAGUUCGAAGCCAUGGCGAACAAAUCGAUCCGUGAGUUCUCAGCUCCCACUACGAAUAACAUCUGCACUGGACCUGCUGCAGAGAUCGAUGGCAACUUUGAGGUCAAGCCUGGACUUAACAACAUGGUGCAAUCCAACCAGUUCUGUGGGAAGGCACACGAAGAUGCUAGUGCUCAUCUCCAACACUUCCUAGAGAUUUGCACCACAUUCACAAUAUCAGGAGUCCCCAGAGAUGCUAUACUACUUCGCCUCUUCCCAUUCUCACUGUUAGUAAGAGCAAAGCAGUGGUUUUACACUACAAAGGAGAAGAAUACUACGUGGGCACUCUGCUCCACAAACUUCCUGGCUAAGUUCUUUCCCAUGGGCAAGACCAAUGCUCUCCGUGGGAAGAUUACAAGUUUUCAGCAACAACAUGAUGAAUCUGUUCUAGAAGCAUGGGAGCGCUUCCAAGACUACAUCCUAGAAUGUCCCCAUCAUGGAAUGGAGAGUUGGCUACUGAUGCAGACAUUUUAUCAUGGGCUCGGCAACAGUGCUCUAGAGACCAUGGAUGCUGCAGCCGGAGGAGCAUUCCUAUCACUUACCAUAUCACAAGCCACAGCUCUUGUGGAGAAGAUGGCAUCCAAUCAAAGCUGGAAUGAAGAGAGGACCCAGACACGCAAGAAAGGUGGAGGUAUGCAUCAGCUCAAGGAGGUAGACAUGCUAUCUGCAAAGCUAGACCUGCUCAUGAAGAAGCUCGAUGAUAGAGCUGGAAUUAAGAAAGAAGUUAUACACAUCUACGACUCUCAUAUGACUUGUGAGGAGUGUGGAGACACUAGACACUCAGGCAAUCACUGCCCUGAGAUGCUUGAGGAUGUGAACUACAUCAACAAUAACAACAACAACUAUUACAAUCGUCCUCAACAAAAUCAAGGUUGGAAUCAACAAAGGCCUAACCACUCAGGUAAUUAUCAAGGUAAUAAUUCUUACAACAAUAAUAAUAAUUUUCUACCUCUGAGAGAGUUAGUGUCUAAUCAAGGAAAGCUAAUGGAUAACCUAUCUAAGAAUUUGGCAUCUAAUGAUAAAAUGAUAGAAAAUAUAAAUAAUAGAAUGAAUAAUUUCUCUAGUGCCAUCAAGAAUCAAAUUAGCUUUAAUAAAAUGAUUGAAUCUCAGUUAAAUCAUAUAGCUACCAUUGUUCCUGCUACUAACCCCGGUAUACCAUCACAACCGGAAGGAUUAGAAUCUGCAAAUCUUGUAGACAUGUUUGAUGCAGGUAAUUGGAGUAGCCCCGUCACUGAAGUUACUACGGACCUUCUGCCGGUCAAGAGAUGCGAUCAAGGACGCCCCGUCAUCCCGAUCUCCAUCGGCAUGGUGUACUUCCCAGAAGCACUCUGCGACUUUGGCUCUAGUGUCAACAUUAUGCCCAGGGUACUCUAUGAAAAAUUAUUUACAUAUCCUUUAUUAGAGACAACCAUGUGUUUGCAGUUUGCAGAUCAGACGAUAAGUUUUCCAAAAGGAAUAUUGAAGAACCUUUGUGUUUGAGUUGGUACCUUAUAUGCCCCAGCAGACUUCGUGGUGAUAGAGACCGGUAAUGAUGAGAGGGCACCCAUCAUCUUAGGGAGGCCAUUCUUAAACACAUCGGGAGCUGUCAUCUACGCUAGUGCUGCCAAAAUCAGUUUCUACAUCAAAGGGAAGAAGGAGACAUUUUCCUUCAAGAAUAAGACUACACAAAUCCCAGAGCAAUCUCGACAUGAAUCAAGGAAGAAGACCAAUAGGAGGAACAGGAACAAGCAAGUGUGGACCGAGUCAGCUAAUAUGGUCACUGCAGUUCAUGGAGGCCAAGAUCAUCAACUUAAGUCACCAUUUUUGACCAAGAAGGAUGACCCAGGAAUGCCAAGCAUCGAUUGCUCCAUAAAUGGAUACAACUUCUACAAGACGACUUGUGACACCGGAUCGGGCGUCAACAUAAUGCCCGCAGUCACCUAUCGGCUUUUGUUUGGAACCAUGCCCCUAAAACCAACAUACAUUCAACUCUAGAUGGCAGAUCAAACGUUUUGAGAAGUUAAAGGAAUGUAACUGAUGUCCCUAUCAAAAUAGACGAUCAUUUUGUCUACACAGACUUUCAGGUUAUCGACAUGGGAGAAGACGAUUACGAUCCACCCAUCAUCCUUGGAAGACUGUUCCUCAGCACCGUUAAAGCAAUCAUCUACAUUGGAACCGAAGAAGUCCAUAUGCACUUCCCCUCAGAAAAGGUACACCACUAUUUUACUGACCCUAACUAUAUCGUUGAAGACUCUGAGCAGGUCAUAAAACGACGCAGCCGCAACGAGAGGAGGGAAAUCAUCAAGGACGGAUGGGCAGACUAUGAAGGGGAAGUGGUAAGGUCAGAAGACAUACAAUUUAAACAGAACUAUCCUGAGGAGACCGUAGCACCAAGUCAGGUGUGGAAAGAGACGAUAACUAUACAUGAAGAGGAGGCGCCGCCGGAAGUACGGACUACGCCACCCAACGAAUCCCAGGACAAUUGAGAAAACGGAGAGUCCCGUUCGGAAGACUUAAAAACACCGAACGUCUUGCCAAGAGGUAAACUUGGUAGUUAUCCUUUCCCUUUCAAUUAUUUAAAAUAGUUUGCUUAGUUAAUCAUGUUCAUACUAUCCUAAAAAGAAAAUAAAAAUGUUAAAAAAUAGUAAGCCCCAUGUGAGUAUACGAGUGGCAUGAAACCCAUAAGUACAUUCACUGUGGUGGCAUAAAAAUAAAAUAAAUAUUUCUUUUCUGCUUUAUAAAAUGAAAAUAUAAAAAUAGGGAGUAACAUUUAUUGAGGAGGCUCAACAUGAUAAAGGCUAGAUACUUAUCCUAACACUUAAUUAGUUCCACAAAGCUUUGUUGUCUAUUUGAGCUCCACAGAAUUUAAGAAUCGAGAAGACUAGCAGACGGAGGACAUUCUAAUCGCUGUCAAGAUACUGCCGACUUUCAAAUACACCUCUGCCACCUGCUAGCUACAUCAAGAGAAAUUAUGUCAAAAUUCAGCUUGGGGGAGAGCACCCCCAUUUAUCCCACUAAGUAUUUCUAUCUAUCUUUAUACUUAUACUAUAUUAAAAUAUAGAUAUACAUAACUAUGGAAAACCAAAUAAAGAUUUUGCGCAUAUAUAUAUAUAUAUUUUGCUAGUUUGUUUAAUAAAUAAAUAAAUAAAUAAAGUGGCUAUGCUAAACUGAAUAUUAAUAAUAAAACUCUAGCAUGGAUACGAUGAAUAGUUGCUCUGCCUAAUUUUUAAAUUUGAGUUCACUCUCAAGUUUAGACAUAACUGUUAUAAUUUAAAGCUUGAUCUAAACCUGAACUUGUGGGAAGAAAACUUGAUCUGAAGUCUAAAUUGUUAACGGAUAUGAUAUGGGAAGGUUGAGCUGCUGUUUAUCUGUUUCUAGAGAUGCUAGAAUCCUGGAGAAUUUUAUCUUUGAAAAUCUUUAAAAUAUUGCAUGAUGAGUUCCUGUAUGAUGAGAGUUUAAAUUCAUACCACAGCCAUAUAUACAUGCUUGCUAGACUUUGAGCCACACAUUUACUUUUACUACUUAUGAGCAUUGAGUGUGGUCAGGCUGUGUAGACCCUUAGGAGCUUGUCAUGUGGUUAAAUCAAGAUUCACUUGCACGUUCACUCACACAUGCUGCUUCUACUCCGGAAGUACCAUCCACAUAUAUCCACCAAUUUCCAUCUCCAGAACUACCCAAAAAUAUUCUACUCCUAAUCCGAGAGAGAAUGGCCAAAAACAUUUUUGUUUUCCUCUUUGAAAUAAAUGCUCAAGUUAUCUUGUUACUACCACUUGCUAUAUUAUCUCAAGAGAUGAGUGCUCUCUUAAAAAAAGAUACGAAGAAAUAAAAAGGGACAAGUGCCCGAAACCUCAAAAGAAAAGAAAAAGUGAGACGAGAGGUAAAAAUGGACAAGAGUCCGCAGUAGAAUUAGGAGUACAAGAUACCCACCUGAGAGAAAAGAAAAAAGAAAAUAUAGAGCAUCUCAUUCUCCUCACAAAGUUUCAAAAAGCAAGGAAGGUAUGUAUCCUCUCAAAGAGCAAAAGAUUUAGACUUUCACCAUUGUUAUCACCAUCAUCACCAUAUACCAUUCAUUCGUCACACAUGCACAUCUUGAUUUGACUUAUUGAUUUGUUUCAUUAGAUCCAUGGUUUGACUAUACAAUACAUGUCUUGUGAGUAUAUAUAUUUUAUCUCCCACCUAUGAGGUCCAGAUAUUAAAGCCUUAUUAGAGUAGGGUGAGAGAGAAGGCAAUGUCACUAUGCCUUAUACCACAAAUACCACAUACUUUUUGAGAGAAGGCAUAUACCAUCCCUGCCUUGGUAAGGACCCAGAAAUACUACAAAAGAGAGAUCUAAGAGAGUCAUACACGGAAUCUCUGAGUUUUAUUUGAAAAUCUACAAAAACUUCAGAGCUAUAGCUGAUCAAGAAUAAGAGACAUGGCACUUGACUAGACCGUUCUAUCUUUUAACUACUCAAGACAGAAGAGACGGUUACAAGUCCCAUGGUGAAAGGUAAAGUAAGUAAGUUUUAAGUCUUGACAGUUUACUCUAACUCAGAGAUGAGAUAUUAUUUAGAAGCAUGUGUACCGUCAACUUUUAAAGGUAUUGCAACAACUUAUGAUCCAUCGCUGAGAUUAUCCUUGCUUAGGGACGAGCAAGAGGUAAGCUUGGGGGAGUUUGUUGACGGUCCUUAAGUAUCAAAUUUAAUUAUCAAAUAAACAAAGAAAAUGAUCCAAAUGAAAUCAACAUCCAGACUUAGGGUUUUAUCUGAUAGAAUUCCACGAGUUUUGGUGUUUGUCUAUUUCUGCAGGGGGUUAUCAGGUAAUACGGAAGAAAGGCCCACACGUCGGGAUUACAUAGAGAUAUUAACGUGCCGCGCAAUUAUCUUACAUCUAGAAGACUCCAGAAGCCACGGGAACGAAGCGGAGGCCGAACAGGGCCUGGCCCUUGGUGCCCGCCCAGGAGACCAGGGCGCCCGCCCACCUCUGGAGUCCAAUCAGGACUCUCUUUCGGGAUCAAGCUCCACCGACCUAAAGGAUCAAGGAUAACCGUUCAAUCAAUGUCGGUUUGAUCCAACGGCCCAUAUUCACUUGAAGGGACUAUAAAACCAGACCCCCUGGCCCCUAGAGGAGAGAGCCUCUCAACCCUAAUUCAUUAUUCCUCAAGGUAGAAGAAGCCUCUGAUCAAGCCUAGAGCCACCACAUCAGUUAGACAUCCAGAUUAGCAUAGCUACAUAGGAUUAGAACUAGAAGGAGUCAAUCGUCGAUUGGUUUCCGGAUAUGUCAAGAGGAUUCUUGGUAAUUCUCUAAUUGUUCUUCUAAAUGUUCAUCUUUGUUCUUCAAUAUUAUGAAUAUGACUUUGUUCUACUUCAAUAUAUUGCUUAUGACUUUGCUCUACUUGUUUAUAUUCAAGAUUAUAUUGUUCUUAGUCUAUCAUAGUUAUAUACUUGGCUUAGUUAGAUUGGAUUUUUAUACAUGUUUAGGAUCGUAUAGCGUUUAUCCAUCGGAUCCAUGGGUAAAUGAUAGAUAUUGUGUAGGCGUGGUGCUUAUACCGUAUUUAUCUGCGAUUGUACCCAAUAUGCCAGAUCGUGGGGUAGUUCGUGAUAGUGACAGCUUCAUUGAUUCUUAUAUAGUACCCCUCUCAUGUAUUGGGCUGGCAGAGCAACAUUAUUAUAGGGGAGUGAUUACGAUGUUUCUCAUAUUCCUUGCUAAUAUCAAUAUGCAUGGGCAUAGUCUUGUCUCACAAUGAUUGCUAAGUAUAAUUGCAUUAACUAUGAUAUGCUAGACUAUAUAGUUGAGAAUAACUUAGGAAAUAUUCUUGUAGUUCGUUCUAAUUCCAUGCUAAUGACUUGCUAGAAUAUCUAAUUGAGGUGCUUAUCAUAUUUAUUAUGUGGCUAAGUUAUGCUGAUCAGAUUAAUUAUCUUUGUCACAAUUCAUUACUUUAUAUCCUUUAUGUGACACUUACCCCUGUAUGAAAGAGUUAGAUAAAUGUUCUCAAUUAUACAUGUAAUGAUAGAUACUCAAUCUCAUAUUCCAUUCUAUAAUCAAUAUUGAUGGUUACUAAUCUCUUCCCAGUGGUAAAAAUAUAAAUAACGAUACCUGGAAUACUUCCCGAUUAAAAUGCUACAUCAGUAUUAAUCUGUGCGCUUGCAGAUCCCAUUCAUUAUUUAUUUAGAUGAGCAAUUGCAUAUUUGAAUACCACAUCUCUCAUAUCAUGCUGGGGAUGAGAACUUGGCUUAAGUGGCAUGAGGGAUAGGUUUGGCAUUUUUGGCACCGUUAUCAGAAUUAGAAAACUAAGUCUACUUUUGGUAAUGAUGUUAAGAAUUCCCAACAGCAUGUAUAAUUGAGAACAUUUAUCUAACUUUUUCAUAUAGGGAUAAGUGUCACAUAAAGGAUAUAUAAAGUAAUGAAUAGUGACAAAGAUAAUUAAUCUGAUCAGCAUAACUUAGCCACAUAAUAAAUAUGAUAAGCACCUCAAUUAGAUAUUCUUGCAAGUCAUUAGCAUGGAAUUAGGACGAACUACAAGAAUAUUUCCGAAGUUAUUCUUAACUAUACAGUCUAGCAUAUCAUAGUUAGUGCAUUUACUUAGCAAUCAUUGUGAGACAGGACUACACUCAUGCAUAGUGAUAUUAGCAAGGAAUAUGAGAAACAUCGUAAUCACUCCCCUGUAAUAAUGUUGCUCUGCCAGCCCAAUACAUGAGAGGGGGACUAUAUAAGAAUCAAUGGAGUUGUUGUUGAUAUUUGGUAAUGCCAUCAGGAAAAUGAUCCGCAAGCGCACGUAUAUCGGUGAGCACUUCACCCGGGAGGUUAUCCAGAGUAUCGUAUUUAUAUUUCUACAACUAGGAGAAAGCGUGCAUCUGACUAACCAAAUCUAUUACUACUACCCUUUAGGCUAAAAAGAAUGUUUCUCGAUGUGAGCGAUGUAUAGAGAAGACUGCAACCGUAGUCUCGUUCUAACCUUGGUAAGGAUGAUCUACUGUUCUAUCGGGGAGGCUCACGGAAUCUAGACACCACAGAGAAUGUUCGACCCGCACCUAUAAACCCUAUCCGUCUUGCUAACAAGAUGUGGGUUGCAAAGGUAACUCAGAAAUGUCACGUUCCUCGCUACUACCAUGAUCCAGCUAGUCAGGGGAUAUCUAUGAGUACCCUAGCCCAAACACCACGUUUAUGCUAGCAAUGAUUACUCUAAACUCAACCGGAAGAGAUUAAAGUAAACUCAUGAACCAAAGAACAAUAAAACAAGAACUUACUAGAAUUUAGAAGUCGAAUUACUGAAGAAUCCUAGGAGCAAGCCUCGGGUUAGGAGAACUUGAUCCCGUAGGUACAACCUCGGAGUAGACACCGAUAGGCUGAGCUUCCUCCGAUCUACACCUCCACUCUAUCUCUCUCAAUCUAGUAGAUCUAGUCUACUCUCAUAUUGGAUGCUAAGCCCUAAGUCUAUUUAGAGGAGAGGUAUUCCUUCGAGGGCUCCUCUCAACUCUAUGAUGAACUUGUUCUCCUCCAGGGGCCAGGGGGUCUGGUUAUAUAGUCCUUCCAAGUGAAUAUGGGCCGUCGGAUCAAACCGACAUUGAUUGAACGUUUAUCUUUGAUCCUUUAGGUCCGUGGAGCGUAAUCCCCGAAGGGAGUCCUGAUUGGACUCCAGGUCACGGCGGGCGCCCUAGGGCGGAGGGCGGGCGCCCUGCCCACGGGCCUGUUCGCCUUCCCGUUCGUUCCCGUGGCUUCUGGAGUCUUCUAGAUGAAAAAAUUGCGCGGCACGUUAAUAUCUCUAUGUAAACCCGACGUGUGGGCCUUUCUUCCGUAUUUCCUGAUAACCCCCUGGAGAAAUAGACAAACACCAAAACUCGUGGAAUUCUAUCAGAUAAAACCCUAAGUCUGGGUGUUCGUUGCAUGUGGAUCCUUUUCUUUAUUUAUUUGAUGAUUAUGUUUGGUACUUAAGGAACGUCAACAACUCCCCCAAGCUUACCUCUUGCUCGUCCCUGAGCAAGGAUGAAUCAAGAGUUUCUGCAGUGGUUUCAUGCCUUAAAAGUAAAAUCUCAUCUCUGAGUUAGAGUAAACUGUUAAGACUUAAAACUUACUCAUUUUACCUUUCACCAUGGGGCUUGUAACCGUCACUUGUGUCUUGAGCAGUUAAAAGAUAGAACGGUCAAGUUAAGCACCAUGUCUCUUGUUCUUUGAUUAACUAUAGCACUGGAGUUUUUUUGCAGAUUUUCAAAUAAAACUCAGAGAUUCCUUGUAUGACUCUCUCAGAUCUCUCUUUUGUGGUAUUUCUGGAUCCUUACCAAGGCAGUAAUGGUAUAUGCCUUCUCUCAAAGUAUGUGGUAUUUUUGGUGUGAGACAUAGUGAUAUUGCCUUCUCUCUCACCCUACUCUAAUAAGGUCUUGAUAUUCUGAGCUCAUAGGUGGGAGAAAGAUAAUACAUACUUACAAGACAUUUAGUGCAUAGUCAAACUAUGGAUCCAGAGAAACAAGUCAAUAAGUCAAAUCAAGAUGUGCAUGUGUGGCGAAUGAAUGGUGUAUGGUGAUGAUGGUAAUAACAAUGGUGAAAGUCUAAUUCUAUUUUUGCUCUUUUAAGGGGAUACAUACCUUUCUUGCACUUUGAAGCUUUUUAGGGAGAAUGAGAUGCUCUAUAUUUUCUUUUUCUUUUCUCUCAGGUGGGUAUCAUGUACCCCUAAUUCUACUCUCGGACACUUGUCCAUUUUUACCUCUCGUCUC